AAGAACGAAGAGUACAAAAGAUGGAGAUAAAACUAAACCCUAAAAAACCCGAAAACAAAGAACCCUCAAAACGUAAACACAAAAUUCUCUAAAUGUGUUAUGAGUUCUAAUAUCUAAUGGGUGCCUUUUCUAAGGUUGUAAAAGAGCCUAUUUAUAGGUUAAAUUCAUAUGUCAAAUAAUAAUAAAAUAAUCUAAACUAAUCAGUGUUUGACUGAAAUAAAUAAACAGGGUUUAACUAAAAGAUUAUUUUUCAAAUUUGACUGAAAGUAUGAGUCAUACUUAACAAAUCUCCACCUUGACUCAUAUUUCUACAACGCCAUCUUUGCCAAAGCUCGCCACGAGCCUAUCUUGAACUAUGCAGGGAAUUAACUAGGUCGAAUCUGUGCUUAGAAACUGGAAGACUUCUAGCCUUCAACUUGUACACCGCCAAAUCAAAACUAACCCGGGUCUGAUUUUCACGAACACAGUGCCCUAACUUUUCAAAACCUGCAUCCAAAAGAGAACCUCUCUUCAACAAAACGGUCAUACAUUUUUCCCUCCUAUGACCAAGUUGCCUUCGCUCCAAACGAGUUGACUUCUACUCUGUAACGGACGAGGGACGUCCGAUUUCAUCGGUCACUGUAGAACCUUCCAUAAUAUAAAGACUGUCAUUUCUUUUACCUUUUAACAAAAUGAGAGCUUCAUGAGAUACUCUAAUGUCGCGUGACUCGAUGUUGAUUUUGCAUCCUUUCAAGUCUAAAAUACUCAAGAAGAUGAGAUUUUUUCGUAAAUCAGGUACAUACCUGACAUCUGAGAGUGUCCUAAUCGUCCUAUUGUGUAUCCUAAUUUUAACAGUACCAAUACCAAUUACCUUACUAUAUGAAUCGUUUCCCAUUAAACAACUCCACCUUCAACUGAACUGUAUGUAGAGAACCAUUCUCUAUUGGGACACAUGUGGAAAGAACAUCCCGAAUCUAGGAUCCACUCGAACGUGAGCUUGGAGUUAUCGCUCGUUGACACUAACAAGAAACCACCAUCGCUUUCAUCGAUCAAAUUAGCACCAGCUACAUCUUCCUCGUUACUCUCAGUAGCUCUUUUAUUUUGCAGUUUAUAACAAUCUGCUUUGACGUGACCUAAAUUUUUACAAUAGCGACACCUUUUGUCUCGUUUCUUUGAUGCUAUCAAAAUGAAAGCUUGCCUAUCUGCCUUGCUAUCCAAAUGAAGCUCAUUGUCGAGUUUGUCUCUACUCAACAAAUGACCCUUCACAUCUUCGAACGAGAGUUUAUCUCCGCCAUAAAUCAGGGUCUCCCUAAAAGACUUGUAUGAAGGGGGUAAAGAGAAAAAUAAUAGCAUAGCUUGAUCUUCAUCAUCAGUAUGAACCUCAACGUUCUUUAAAUCAUUUAAAAGAGUAAUGAAUUGACUGAUGUGAUCUCUAAUAAGCCCACAUUCGUUCAUGCGAAACGUAAAUAGACGUUGUUUCAACACUAAACAGUUAGCCAGAGACUUAGUCGCAUAAAGAGUUUCUAACCUUUUUCAAACCGGAUUGAACUAGAAUUGCCAUCAUCCGAACUUGCCACAGAUUGAAAUUUGUCUCACCAUCGAACUUCUCAAUUUCAAACCUUAUUGUUGUCAUAUCUGAAUGGGCUGAUAUUUGAACUAGCUCUGAUACCACUUGUUAGGGAUCGAACCGAUUAAGCAACAAAUAACAAAAAUAGCGGAAUAAAUUGAGAAAUUGAACACACAAAUUUAACGUGGAAAAACCCCUCCAAAGAGGAUAAAAAACCACGGGCAAAGAUAAUUUUACUAUAAUGGCAAAAGAACGAAGAGUACAAAAGAUGGAGAUAAAACUAAACCCUAAAAACCCGAAAACAAAGAACCCUCAAAACUUAAACACAAAAUUCUCUAAAUGUGUUAUGAGUUCUAAUAUCUAAUGGGUGUCUUUUCUAAGGUUGUAAAAGAGCCUAUUUAUAGGCUAAAUUCAUAUGUCAAAUAAUAAUAAAAUAAUCUAAACUAAUCAGUGUUUGACUGAAAUAAAUAAACAGAGUUUAACUAAAAAAUUAUUUUUCAAAAUUGACUGAAAAUAGGAGUCAUACUUAACAGAAGUCAAUUCAACCAAGCUAUCACUUUUCAAGUUUGGAAUAUCAGUCGACUUGCGAUGAAUUUUUGGAUGGGAUCCAGAUAUUUCUGGACUGAGAUAUCUGCAUAGCAUUUGAAGAGUUACCUCUUAGAUUUGAAACGCACUUUGAAUCAAUCGAUUUCAAGUCCAGGAGGUCAAGUUAUGAUCAUUUUACUGAAUACUGUGUGAGUAGAAUUUUUGGAUAGAAUUAUUACAAGAAAUUACGAGUUUCGGACUUUAAUGCAAGUUGAAAUCAUAUUGUGUUCGAUUUUUAGGCUUAAAUUUUAUUAUAUAUGAGUACAAUAUUGCAUUUAUUAAGUUUUAUUAUUUUAUUAUUUCUUUAUUCUGAAUUUUAGGAUAUUUUUAAGUAUUUAAAGUUGUUUAAGAGUUUUAUGUUUCUUAGUUAAUAAGAAAGUUUAGUUUUACUAAAACUACUCAUUGUUUAGAUUAAUUACAGUUUCAUUAUACUUGAGAGUUUUAUUUAGAUGUAAUUAUCUAGCCUAUAUAUUGGUCUUUUCAUUGUUUAUUAAAAGCAUUGAUAAAAUUGAUUCAUUCAUUAAUAAAAUUUUCAACUCUAAAAGUUAAUUUCUUUCAUGCAGGAUUCUUUUCUCGUGAUUUUUAGAAACGAUUUUUUCCUCUUGAUUUUCUUCAAGGAUUUGUGGGAAUCCAUUCUUAAUCCUUCAAUUUGCCAAAAAUUAUUUCUUUGAUAGUUGAUUAGAGCCUUUAAUUGAAUUUGUUGGGGUUUAUAUUUGAGGUCCAGUUGGACAACUAUCUUCUAUUCAUAUCCAUCGGUUUAGCAGUCAAAUAAAACUCACAUUCCUUUCCUAGGAAUCUACCUAGUGCACAGUUCUCAUUCACUUCUUUAUUUUUACCCUUUUUGAUAUUUGCUUUUAAACAAUGAGGACAUUGUUUCUCUUUUGUGGGGGGACCAGAAAUAAAAUUUUUGGCUUAUGACGAAAAUUAAUUUUUUUCCAUCAAGUUAUGUUAUAGUAAAAUAUUAUUUUAUGUAUAAAAUUUUAUUAUUUCAAUUAUUUUUAUGCUAGCUUAGUUAUGAUAAAAAAUGUUGAACUGAGUAAUUGUGUAUAAACCAUACCAUGAAAAUUUUUAAUUCCUUAGAAAAACUAAGCAAUCAUGAAAGUUUAAGUCUUUAGAAUUGACUUAGUAAUUUCCUUAAGGCGAAAUACUAAGAGGCAUGGUAAUUUGAAAAUGAUUUAGGCAAUUUUUGUUUGGACCAUUUGAGCCUUUCAAGCCAACCCUAGUAAUAAUUAUCUAUUGAAACCCUACUUUAAGCUAUAUAGCCUGAUGUUUUUUUUCUGAACCUUAUAUUAAUAAGUCAUCCUUCCUUAAAAUUUAUCUCUAUCUGUCCCAAAUCUUAGACUCAGUCCAACUAGAAUGUUUUUGUGAUUAAAUUUGGGGAGUUAGAGAGAAGUGUUUGAUUUCUCAAAAUAUUGAGUUGUAUGCUUAAAAAAGCAUUAGUGAUUGCUUAAAAAAUCUAGUUAUUGAAAAAAAAAUAUGUACAGAGAACAUGUGUACUCAAACUCAAAAGAGUUGGUGUUCUUGGGGAUAAUUGUAUUUGGAAGGUUUGAGGUACACUGAGUCUAAGAUUUUAGUCUAAAAAUGAUCUAUCAUUUUCCUACCUUGACCCAAGUCAUAUUACAACCAUAUUAAAGACCUAUUGAUUAAACUUUAGGAUUACUACUGAGUUCAACCAAGGGAAAUAAAUUUUGUUUGGGAAGUACUAAGCACAUAUUUGUUAAGGGAUGGUAUUUAGUACAUAGUUUUGUUAGUAUAUUAAUCUUUGAAAAUAAUUGAGUGAUAUAGGCACUCAAGUUGCAUGUUUAGAAAUUUUUUAUUCUUCAGCAUAAUUUUGCUAAACACAUAACUAUAGGAAUGAUUGAUUUCGUUUGAAGGGAUUUUUGCAAAAGUGGCUCUUUGGUUUCUAAUGUAAGUUAGCAUAUAUCACCACUUGGGAUGAGCAAUGAAUUAAGUUUGGGGGUAUGAUAACUCAAAAUUAUAUAGACAUUUACAACACCUUCUGACUAUUAAUUCAUGCAAAUUCUGAGUAUUUUGAUAGCAAAUUUUGUAUUUUUUCAUUAAAAAUUUGUAAAGUAGAACAAAAUUAAAGAUAAAUUUGUAAUGUUAUUUAUUUCCAUGCUAAUUUUACAUAUUUUUUUUCCAGUUUGGCGCAGUUUGGUGCAAUAGAAGAAAAGUUAAUCUUGAAGCUCACCUAUUCGAUGCUUGAUGAUGUAACAUUCCUGCAGUAGAGGCCAUGCAAACGUGGGUUGAUGGCUAAACAACAUGAGACAUCCUAAAUUCUUUUAUUGGACCUUUAAAUUCAAUUUGAUCCAGCUCCCAAAUGGUUCACAAAAAUGGACAAGCUUGCUACCAAAUAUGAAGCCCAAAUCAUCCACUAAGGGAGGAAAAAGCCUAAUUCAACCAAGGGAAGUCCAACCGUCCAUAAAAGUAUUUAACUUUGCCUCCCAAGACUUGGUAAAAUAUCACAGAUCAGUCACAACAAAUUUCCCAUGAUCGUUCAACUCCCAUCCCUAUUUUAAGGUGCCUUCCCAUGAAUCAAGUAAGAAGUAGCUAAAUUUAGCAAAGUCAUUCACCUUCCUUCCUUAACACAAGGGGUCGACCAUUUGUGAGAGAAAUGAGGGGGAUUAUAAUUCUAAAAAUAGAAAACUCAAGAGUUGUAAGGAGUAUUUAGAAGUUCUUGUGAGUAGCAAAAAUUCAGCAUUUAUAAGGCAUUUGUGUGAAGGAACAAAGCAAAAAGAAUGAGGAAAAGCAAAUAAAAGUUGUGCAGCGGAGAAACAUCGCAUUUGUCUCCUAGUUCCUUUUUCUUAAUUCUUUUGAUUUUGUUCUAAACUUAUGAACAUGAUUGCUAAAUAUAUUUCUGCUUUUUAUUUCAUUAAAAUGGCUUAAUUUUGUUUAUGUUAGAUUGAUUGCAUUUUUUUAGCUUAGAUUAUUAGAAUUUUAUUAAUGAUGUUAUGUGCCUUGGUUGCUUAUUCAUUCAAAUAAAAUCAUGAACAUGUUAUUCGUGCAUUAUAAAUAUUGGGAUGCAAUUGAAUUAAUUAUUAAAUCAGAACCAAAUUGUAAUUAAUUGACACAGUAUCUGAAUGGUGCAUGUUUGACCAUUUUAUGAUGAAAUUAGGUCAAAUUAGUAAUAAUAUCAAAAGAACUUUAUUACCUUGCAUAACCCUAAGAUUAAUGUGAUUAAACUAUUUCGGUAUAGAAAUAUUACCAUUACUUCACAUAAUAUGAUUUCUACUUAUUAAAAUACUAAGUUGAUUGAACAUAGACAUAUGCUAGAAAAACUUAAUUAUUUAAUAAGUGUAAUUUCUUAGACGAUACCUAGAAAGGUAAUCUUGAAGUUAGACUUGACAUAGAAAUAUGCAUGGAGACUAAAAGGUCAAGCUUAAGUCUUCGAGAGAAGCCAAGCAUUCGUAAAUAAUAACAAGCUUAAGUCUUUGAGUUUAUUUAGGAUCAUUCAUCUCAUGAAAUUGUGUGAUAAUGUGUGGUAUUGAUUUGGUAUAUAAAAUAUUUGUAUAGAUCAAGAAUUAGACCAAAGUGGAGUAAAUAAAGGAAAAGCAUAAUGUAACACCCCUAACCCGUAUCCGUCACCGGAUUAGGGUUACGAGGUAUUACCAGUCAUAUUACAGUUCAUACAGAUAAUCAUUACAUUUCACAACUCGAAAUUCAAUCACAUCAAUGCUCGUAACUUAAUCAAAUAUCGAGUCUUGAAAUCAGAACAAUCAUAACAUUGCAUAAUUAAAACAUAUUCAUAUCAUCUAUAUAACCACAUAUUCGAAUUAUCUAAUGUGCAACAAAGCCAAGUUACAUGUACUUAAUACAUAUAAAUGUUCGAACCACAUGACUCUAAUAUUAAUGGCAUUUGUAUACUUAAAACAUAUCCUAGCAUAUAUCAUUACAUUUCAUACAUCGAAUAUAUGUCACUAUAUCUAUUUCAUUAGUUGAAUAUCAAACAUAUCAUUUCAUAACUUCUGCACAAGCACAUAAUAAAACCAUUCGAACCAUAUUACAUUAAUUAUUAUGCAAUCACAUAUGCGACUUUAGUAAUAUUACAAUAGGGCCAAACAUACUUUUGAUGCAUAUAUAUAUAGUGCGCAUUUCACCCUAAAAACAAAAGCCACAUUUAACAUUUGAACAAAAAUAACAUUCCAAUGUACACCUAAUUCGCAUAUAUAUAUAUAUAUAUUAGUAACCCUAACUUCAUAUUUCAUCCUAUUAACUAAUCAUUGAUUCAGUCACACCAUUAUCAAGAUCAUAUGCUUAUCAAAAUGAACCAAAUAUCGUUACCGAAUUUACAACCACACAUGUACGCGUACCUAUAUUAAUAUUAACAUCAACUUGACACUUUUAACUAUCCAUUAAAAGCUAACCAAAACAUACCUAAAUCAUAACCAUCAUUUACCAUUUGGAUCCGUACCAAAACAAUCAACCAAAAAAAUCAUGAAACAUAUUCAUUACUUGUCAUUUAGCAACCAAACCUAUAUAGCCAAUAUACAUUCAAAUACAUAUUCAUCAUAUUACCUCAUUACUAAGCCAAAUUAAACAAUCAUCCACCACCCAAAUUAUUCCACAUUCCAUACUUCCAAAAUAAGCUAAUUAUUAAGCUGAUUAUACAUCAUACUUACCAUUUCUCAUUGCCAAAUCAUAUAACCAACAUCACAAACUUAUAUACCAAGAAACAUACUUCCAAAAUAAGUUUAAGUCAUAGCCACAUACACACAAGCUUUAACAUUAUAAUCAAGCCAUGUUCACAUAGCUAUCUAUAUACAAAUUUCAAAGCCAAACAUAUAAAAACCAGCCUAUACAUGCCAUAUGUUUAUAGUUUCAAACUUCAAAAGUACCGAGUAAUAUUCGAUAGUGUGACGAUGAUCCUAGACGAUCCCCAAGCUCGUAGCUAGCUUUCAAAAUCUAUAAAACAACAGACAAACACACAAAGUAAGCUUGGAAAGCUUAGUAAGUCAUAAGCAAAUAAAUUAUCAAAUGAACAUUAGCAUGAUUAUUUCAACAUGGUCGAAUAUGAACAAUCUCAUGUACAUAAUGGUCAGACCUUUGACAUGUAUAAUUCAUAUCAUCAUCUCAAGUACUAUACUUACCUUAUUUUCAUGGACAUUUAACUUCGAACGUACCUGAACCAUUUAGUUCAAUUUCACAUUCGAUCUUAACUCAACAUUGCCCGUUAAACCAUUCGAAAUCAAUAAGGAUACUCGAAUAGCUCGAAAAGCUCGUACACUACCAAUGUCCCAGACGAGGUCUUACAUGUAAUCAAAUGUCGAUGCCACUGUUGCAGACAGGGUCUUACACAAAAUCAUAUAUGAUGCCAAUGUCCCAGACAUGGUCUUACACUUAAAUCUCAAAUUGAUGCCAACGUCCCAAACAUGGUCUUACAAGAAAUCACAUAUCGGAAUCCUAUGUCAUGACAUAUGUAUCCUAACUAUUCCUAUGGUUCGUACUGGGCUUUCGGACGUCAUAAUUCGAUCGAUUCAAACUCGUAACUAGUUCUCCAAUGCUUAAUUCAAUUUGGCAUAUACACAUAAAUUUAUUAUAAUUCAAUUUUGGCACAUAUAAUACAUAUACAUUCGAAUUUAACAACAUUUAUUUACUUAUGAACUUACCUCGUACGGAGACGAAUGGACCAGAACGACUAUUCGACAACUUUUGAUUUUCCCCGAUCCAAUUUCGUUUUCCUCUUUUCUUGAUCUAAAUUAAUACAAAUUUAACUCUUUUAUUCACCAUUCAAUUUAAUCCACAUAAUCAUAUUUAAGGCAUUUUACAAAGUAUCCUUUAUAUUUUCACAUUUUGACAUUUAAGUCCCUAAUUCACAAAAUUACAAAAUACACAUAAUUUCAUUUUACACAUGCUAGGUCGAAUGUUUAUACACUUCAUAUAUGCCCAUAUAUUUCCUUUAUUUCACAUUUUAACCCCUCUAUUUCUCAUUUUCACAUUUUAGCCCAAAAUACUCAAAUUCAUCAAAAAUCCAAACACAAAACAUAUUAAUCUCAUACCAAGCUUUCAUAAUUCAUCAAUUAACAUCAUUAAACUCACAAAAUCAUCAAUGGCACAACUCAAAAUCAUUAUCAAAUUCUGAAAUUGAGGCAUGGGCUUAAGAAAACACAUUGCAACGAUCACAAAAAUGUUUUAAUUGUCAAAAACCGAAACAAAAACAUACCUUGAUUAAGCUUGGAUAAGGCCGAAUAGAAGAAAGAUUUAAAACCCUUAUUUUCUUUCUAAUUUUGGUGGAAGAACACUUGAAAAUGAUCAACAUUUUGGCCUUAUUCACUUUAUUUAUUUUGAUUUAAAGAAUUACUAAUUUAACCUUAAUGAAAUAUUAAUAUAAAACACUUGAAUCAUGGACAUAAAUGUCCACUAGCCUUAUAAUGGCAUAUUAACCUUUUAAGGACUUCCCAUAAAUCAAAUCAUAACAAAUUAACAUAUUUACAAUGAGAAUGUCACUUCUACUUUUUAUGGGUUUAGCCCUUUUUUGCAAAUUAAGCAUACAAACGGAUAUAUUAAAUCACGAAAAUUUUACACAUGUCAAUUCACAUACAAUAAGCAUAGAAAAUAAUAUUAAAAUAUUUUUUGACUCGGAUUUGUGGUCUCAAAACCACUAUUUCGAUUUGGCUAAAACCGAGUUGCUACACAUAAAUUGUGGAUUAGUCCCUGACAAAUCCACCUGUAUUGUGUUUUGAAAAGGUAAGUUCAUAUCGAACUUACUACUCUUCUUUAGGUUAUAUGUAUGCUUGUGUUUAUUCCAUUAUAACUAUGUUCGAACAUAACUUUAAAUGUUGAUUAAGUUGGCAUACAUGGCUAGAAAAUGAAAUGGAAUUGAAUUGAAUAAAAAUGAAUUAAGAUUGAUGAUUGAUAUGACAUGGUACAUGGUAUGAUAUGUAAAUAUGGAAAAUUAUAGGGUAUGAACAUGUGAGCAUGAAUGAUUACAGGGUAUGAUAAUGCAAAUAUGUAUAAUUGAUGCCCAUGUGAACUUAGUAAAAGGUUAGGAUAUGAUUGGCAUGUCAAUAAGGUCAUUUGCACGCUUGUACGGGAUAUGUGAUGAUACGGAGAUUAUGACAGGAUAUAUCGAGACUUGCAUUUGUUAUGGAUCAUCGAGCAUUAUUUGUCCCUACAGAGACUUUGAUGUGGUAGAGGGAAUUAAUUGAAAAUGUUUAUACAUUUGAUUCCUACGGGCUUUGGAUUUUGGUGCCUUGGUGUGGUAUAGUUAAGCUCUUACAAGCUAUCUGACGUGGUGUAGUUCACUCGUGUAUCCGAGUCUAUUUUUCUAGGGUUCCAUUGGGAAAAAUGUUGAAAAUGGAUCUUGAAAUAUAAAAAAAUGAACCAAUUUAAUGUGUUAUUAUGAUUCGUGAUUCAAAUUGAAAUGGCUUGAUCUUGUAAAUUGAUAAUGUAAUAUGAAAUGGUAAUGAUCUUAAUGAAAGUAGAGAAAUUGGUGAUAAACCUAUGUGAAAUGGUGAAAAUUGGUAAUGUUUGUGUUACUUUUAUCAUGUUUAAUGCAUAUUAAUACUCAUGAUUUUUGUGUAUACCUUGUUGUGACCUAGAGUGUCAUCUGCUAGCUAAAUGUAUGUAAUGGCCCAAAUUCAAGGUUAUCGGAAUAGUAGUAUUGUAACCACAAAUUUGAUUUAAAGAGAAAUUUAUUUUAAUAUUUUUGUAUGAAUAUUGAUAUGAUAGGAAAAUCGUAUGAAAAUAUAGAUAGAAGAAUUUUACCAAUUUAGUGGUUAGUUAGAAAAAGAAAUUACUGAAGAAAUUGGGUAAAAACAAGGUAUCGAGACCUCGAUCUCGUAAAAUCGAGUCAAAAAUAUUUUUAUAAAUAUUUAUGAAGUGUUAGUAAUAUGGUAUUAAAAUUUCGUUAGAAAAUUUUAAUGUUUGGGUAGUCAAUUAAGUGAAAAGGGCUAAAUUGAAAAAGGUGUAAAAGUUACUAGAAGGAUUAAAUAGCUCAAUUGUUAAAUGAGGAGGGACAUAAAUUGCAAAUAAGCCCAAAAGAAGAUAUUUUGGGCGGCAUACGCUGAGAAAAAUCAGGAAUAUUGAAGAAUUAAGGGUAAAAUUGGAAUAUUGCAAAAUUUACUUUAAAAGUUAGGACUAAAGUGGAAUAUCUAGAAUUCUCUUUAUUUUUCUGCAUUCUCAUCAGCCAAAAAACGUCCUAAGGGUUUCUUUAAGCUAUUUUUUCAUAAUUUUUGCACCAAGUGAGUUAAUCAUUGCCUUUUUCUUGUAAUUUUUGUGUUUCUAAGACUUUUACAACUAGGUCCUAUUACUAAAUUUAUUAGUUUUUGAUUUUAUGAAUGAAUUUGAAAGUUGCUAUGAAUAUGUGCUGGAAUUUCAUGAUGAAAUAGGAUGAAAUUGAAGCUUUAAUUUGUUUAUAAGAUGAUUUUAUUAGGUAAUUUCAAUAGAAAUUGAUUUGUAGGACUUAAUUGUAAAAAAGUUUCGAAUUAAAGUCUAGUGCUAAAAUUCUGAUUUCCAAAGGUUAUAAAGUAGUUUAAAGUGAUAGAAUAAAGUGUUGGUUGAGAAAAAUCAGCUCAAUUGAGAGGUUAAUUGAGCAGGGAUGGAAUUAUCAUUUAUUGAAAGCUUAGGGAAAGAAUGGUAAUUAACAUUAUGCACUAAAACAGUUUUGGACAGCAGCAGUAGUCUAACUUUAAAAAAUCACCAAAAAUUGUAUAGAUCGAAUUAAAGGAUGAAUAAAAUAUGAAAGUAAAUCUUAUUUAGUCUAGUUUCUUAUAAAAGAAACGGUGUAAGCAAUGGAAUUGUAAAUCAUGAGAUAUAAUAGAUUUUGUGAGACAAGGUCAGAAUGAAUUCGGGUUCCCCUGUUCUGACUUUGGAAAAUCAUUAAAAAUUGUAAAAAAAAUGAUUAUGAGUUAUAAUUUAUAUGGUUAUAAUCCUUAAUGAGUAUAUUUUUAGAAGAAACAAAUGGAAACAUCAUCCGAAUUCUGUACAAUGAGAUAAUUAAUUUUUAGUGAAGAGAGGUCGAAACUGUUGAACAGUGAAACAGGAGAAAUUUUAAAGAAUAAAAUGUACUUAUUGGCUAAACCAAAAAUUCUGAAAAUUUUAUGGUAAGAAUAUUUGUGAGUCUAGUUUCGGGAAAAAUUAUCGGAUCUUAAUUUGGAGUUCUGUAGCUCAAGAUAUAAAUAAUUUAGUGACUGUGACUCAGUGAGACAGCUUUGAAUGCACUAUAAAUAAUAAUGGAAUUAUAGAGAAUGUUACAUAUGAACAUGAAAAGUAUUAGAUUAAUGAUUAAAUUUAUUUAUUUAGAUCCGAAAAAUUCAAAUAGGAAGCAAGAUCGAGGAAAAGAAAAAGUUUGGGAUUAGUAGAUUUUUGGUUACGAACAAGUGACGAGGUAAGUUCGUGUAACUUGAAUUAUAUUCUUAAAUGCUUGAAAUAUAUUUUUCUUGAUGUGAAUAUGAUUUAGAUGUUUAUUGUAUGAUAAUUGAUGAAGUAUUGAUAUUCUUGAUGAAAAGGGAAAAUAAAUCUCAGUUGAAUGAAAGGAAAAUUCGAUGGAUCUCUGAAAAGGAAUUGAUGGUAAAAAGGAUCUAGCCCGGACGGGUGAUCCUAUCCUGAUAUAGCCCUCCCGAAGAAUAUGUGGAAAAUGGAUUUAGCCCGGACGGGUAAUCCGAAUUAGGGUCUGAAUUUAGCCUGGACUGGUAAUUCAGAUCCAAACUCAUUAGAGUAAUUGUCGCUGCAGGGGAUUUAGCCUGGACUGGUAAUCCCGACAAUACUCUAUGAGUUUAUAUUACAGGGGAUUUAGCCUGGACUGGUAAUCCCGCUGUAAGGAUGAGGUUCGCGGGAGUGUGCUAUCUGAAAUAGAAAUGUGAGUACAUGAAUAUGAAUUAACGGACCCGGAUUUGUACACUAAAGUGUACCUCUGAAAAUCCAUCGAAAUUUCGAGAAAUUCAACGGGAUAAAUAUGGAAAAUAAAAAGGGAAUGGAAAAUAUGGGAAUUGAUAAGCUCAUCAAUCAUUUGUCUUUGUAAUGAAUUUAUAUGAUGUUUACUUAACUAAUGCAAAAGUUGAGUUUGUAUGUGAUAGGUAUAUGUUUAUGUGAAUUGGAUGUGUGCUUGUGCUAUUAAAUGAUAGGUGUAUAAUAUGGUAAGUAUAAUUCUUGUUGCAUGAACUUACUAAGCACAAUGUGCUUACCCCGUUCUCUUUUUUCCCUAUUUUGUAGUGCCCGGGAGCUCGAAGGUUGGAGAUUAGUCGGAGCUUUAUCACACUAUCAACCCAUAUCUUUUGGUAUUUGAAAAUGACUUAUUUUGAAAGAAUGGCAUGUAUAGACUAAAUACCAAUAUUACAUAGAAAUGAAUGUUUGUAACUUAGCUGUUGGUAUGGCUAGAGUAAGUAUAACUUUGAAAUUUUGCGAAAAAUUUCUUAUGGCUUCGAUUUAAUAUCAGUUUAGUCCCGAUGUAUGUUUUGGGCUUCGGAGGCCCAUCCAAGGGACGUCAUGACAUGAUUCGAUAAAUGAAUAGUAAUUAAACUCGUAAUAACAGAAAAAUUAAUUCAGUAAAAUCUGGUAAUGCCUCGUAUCCUAUUCCGGCGACGGAAACGGGUAGGGGGUAUUACAAUGUAUGCCUAACUUUUGGUUAUAUCAUGCUCACCUAUGAGCAAGGUAAGUGUUUUAAUUCCAUUUGAACUUAUUAAGCAUUUAAAUGCUCACUCUAGUUGUUUCUCCUACUUGUAGAUCAUCACAACUUGCAAAACUCUCAAAGCCGAAUCUUUACGAAUGUCACACUAUCAUUGAAAUGAUAGAAAUAUGUUUAUUUUGGUUCCUAAAGUUGAGUUAUGUAUAUAGGAUCAUUGUGUUUUGUAAUGGUCAUCCUUAAUUAUGAUUGCUUAUGUUAUGUUAUGUUAAUGGCCAAGACUAUGUUGUUUGCUAAGUUUAUAUAUGGUCUAAUAUAAGUCUAAUGUGAUCAUAUCAAUGCCUUUUGAAUCCUCAAUUUUUAAAGCUUACAUGGACCUUAUAUGUUUGAACUUCGAAAUAUGGCAAUUUGAUAGAUUAAGAUUGGUGAAUGGCUUGAAUGAGUUAGGUUUUGAUCAUGUGUUUGGUGCCAAUUGAUAGGGAUUCUAAAUGUGUUAUAAACUCAGCUUGGUAUGGUUUGGGAUAAUUUGAUGCAUAGAUGAAAUUGGUAUAGGCAUGUGUUUGUAAGAAAAAAAAAUGUGUUUGAUUGAAAGUAUUAAAUGUGUGCCAAAGUGAUUCUUGCCAAAACAGUGGUGACGUUGCGACUACAAGUCCCCAACGUCGUGACAUGGAUCGACAGCGAGUGACGUUGCAACGUUGAGAUGUUUGAAGUCAUAACAUAACUCAUUGAUUAAUGAUGUCGCAAUGUCAACUUGCAAAUUUUGAAAACUUUACAAUUUAGUCAUUAAUCGACCUUGAAUUAGUGAAAGGUCACAAUGUCAACUUGCAAAUUUUGAAAACUUUACAAUUUAGUCAUUAAUCGACCUUGAAUUAUUAAAAGACCUUUCAUAAGCUCGUAUAAGAACAUAAAAUGUUUUUGUAUCAUAUUGAAAAUGUGUUUUAUACUAAUGAGCAUGCUAAAAUGAUUGAAUUGUAUUGAAGCUUGUUGUAGUUGCUUUGGUUACAAAUGUAGCAUCCCGUAACUCGGACUCGACGAUAGGGUCAGGAAAGGGGUGUUACAAGGAGUCUACUGAUGGAGGAAAAACUUCUACUUUUUACCAACCUCCUCAUAGCACCGUUCACCUGCUGAAGGCGAAUAUGAAAAGGGUUGAUUUUCUGAGCACUAUUACUUUAGUUUGAUCAAGACUUUAGCCCUCUUUUGUAACCAAAAAAAAUGAAAAAGAAAAAAAAUCAUUGGAGAUGGUUGGUUUUAAGACCCUUAAUAAGGCAAUUAAAUAAUUAGGUUUGUUUGGAUAAUUAAAUGAAAAGAAAAAUAAAUGUGAAAUUAAAAAAAGAUAUCAAGAGGAAAUGUCUUCUUUAUCGUCAUGAAAAAAAAAACAAAGAAAUAUCAAGAGGAGACAUGGGUUUGAAUCUUGGAAAUGAUAUUGUUGAGAGGGAUAAUCAUGAACUUGGAUCAUAAAACAAAUAUGAACAUACUUAAAAAAAAAUCCAUUUUUUUAGAACUAUUUUAAUUUGAAAAGGGUAUUUUUUUUAAAAAAAUAAUUUUUCAAUAAUAAUUUUUUUGUAACUUUGAACAACUUUUGCAACAUUUUACAUUUUUAUAUUAUUAUCAAUCGUAUUUAAAAUGAAAUUGGACAAAUGAUUGUCCUCAAAUUAAUGAACCACCACUUGUGUAAGUUCAUUCUUUAUUUUAUUAAUUUUUGAAGAUUUCUUUAAAAAAUUAAAUUUUAUAAUUUUUUUUGUUUGGUCAACAACCACAUUAUCAAUCAAUGCUUAACACAUGGCAUGUUCUCAUUAGCUGAGUGGACCACCUUUCACACCAUUAACUUUUGGGGCCAAAUACUAUAAUAAAGCAAUAGUUUAAGUAAUGAGAUAGAAUAAAAGUUCAAAUACUUAAGUGAGAAAAAGUGUAUAGUAAACUUGAAUAAAGCAUAAAUAUUAUGAAAUUUAAAAUUGAUUCGUCUAAAUGAAUAGGACUUUUUUUUUUUAAGUUAGGAUUAAUCUUACGUGUAAAUUUAGAUUAAGUUAAAAUAUGUUAUAGGUUCUUGUACUCUUUACAAAUUUGGAAGAAAUUUAGGUUUUUUAAAUUUUAAAUUUCAAAAUCCAAAUUCAAUUUGUUAAAUUUAUCAAUGCGACAUUUUGAAAUAAUAAUAAAAACUCACUUAAUAGUAAUAUAAUUAAUAUUUAAUAUUUAAUAUUUAAUAUUUAAUAAACUUGAAUUUAAUAAAAUAAUUUUAAUAGUAUUAAUAGGUAGAUCUAAAUUUUGAAAAUAAAUAAAUAAAUAAAAUUUUAAAAAUAAAAAUAAAAAAAUUACAAAAAGAUACAGACCUUAGGUUGGUGUAACCCCAGGAACUGGUUUGGGAUGCAAGUAAGGUUGUCUCUAGAACUUCCCACAAAGAAACAGCUCGUUUCAAUGGGACAGCCACCGCCAGGAACCUGCAUUUAUUAAACCCCAUUAUUAUGGGAAACGAGACACUAAUUUCUUUAUGGACCAAUGAAUGCAGUUGUUGUUUUCAGAAUUUAUUAAGCAAGUCCCUCCACACACACACACACACAAAAAUCUCCAUUUUCCUUUUCAAAGAGGAAAAAGUAGAGAUAUAGCAGUGGUGCGUGUCACAAAUGACUCGUGAUUCUCAAUCCAAUAGCGAAAUGGUCUUCAAUGCUGUGUUGUUUAUAUUAGAGAAAGACUACAAGCAACUUAAUUAGUCUCAAACUCCAACCUAACUAACUAAAUUUCUAUUUGUUUAUACCAAAGGUGUUAGCAAUCAUGCAUUUGGCUCCUAGUUUCUCAUUACAUUUAAUUCACACCCGACAAAAAAUUCUUAAUUUCAAUCUCCACAAAACAAAAGAGAUAAAUUCCCAAGAACGUGUAUGCAUGGAGUUUUGUGUGUUUUAUGCUGUGAAAAAUAAAUGCUGUCACCUAACUGAAACCCACCAAAUUUAAAGAGCAAAGGGAGUCCCAAGUCGAAAAUCGAAUAUUUUAAUGCAUGCCCAUUAAAGCUCCAAACAAUCACCUUUUAGUUCCACAACACGUAACCAAAAGUAUCUAUACUUAUUCGGGUUUUAUUUAUUUACUUUAAAAAGAAAAACAUUAAACUUCAUUAGCAAUUCCUAAACUGAGGGUAAGCUCUUAAAAUAUCUUAUAGUUUAAGCUCACUUUAAUUUCCAUCUCCUAAUAAGUACAUUAUCAAUCUACCAACUCCAAAUUAAAACCAUUUAUCUACACUUUAAGAAAUAUUGCUUCUCUCCCAUCAUUAUCAUUGAUAUACUAAAUAUAUCAAGGAAUAUGCCAAGUCUCGUUGAUCCAAGCCAAUCACGCACCAUACCCAAAACUUUGUUUUCAUGUCCAAUGGCUUCAAGACAAAUGCCCUCUCACCAACUCUCAGCAAUUAAAACUCUCAACAAACUUCAUCUGCCUCAGCCUAUUAAAGGGUUGUAAAUGUUAGUAUUCAAACUACUGGAUACCACAUUGUAGGAGUGGUCUUCCCAUCAUUAAAAUCAUUCACACCAGCUUUACCAAUCACCUAUUUGCUAUUUAUGAUACAAACCAGGAAAGUUGGAAUGAAACUGAAAUAUGGCAUGUAAGCUUGUUAUACUGUUCUUCUUUGUUAAUCUCCUAAUGCAAAUACCAAAAGUAAGGGCAACAGUUCCUGCAAUUAUCGUUUUCGGAGAUUCUACGGUGGAUCCAGGGAACAACAACCAAGUAUCUACAGUUCUAAAGAGCAACUUCGAGCCAUAUGGCAGGGAUUACUAUGGUGGUCAGCCAACAGGACGUUUUUCUAAUGGAAGGAUUGCAACAGACUUCAUUUCUGAAGCCCUCAGGAUCAAGCCAGCCAUACCUGCAUAUCUGGACCCGAAGUAUGACAUAGAAGAUUUCGCUACCGGAGUUUCCUUUGCUUCAGCCGGGACUGGUUAUGACAAUGCUACUUCUGAUGUGCUAGUAAGUCGAGCUACAGAUUGGUGAUAAGUUAACCGUCUUACCAUGUGAAACAGAAGUCAUGCAGUGAGUUGUAAAUUUUUGUUUGCAUCAGGUUUUCCAUGAAUGUUGUUAAAUUCCAUUUUGAUUCUUGCCUGCAACAAAUGACAAAAGAUUUCAGUUUCAACAUGUUCUUUUAAUCUAGUUCAGUACAUUUAAUCAACUAUAGACAACAGGUCAUCAAUUACAACUUACAAAAGCCAUUUUCUUGAAUUUGCAGUCUGUCAUACCAUUUUGGAAGGAACUGGAGUACUACAAAGAAUAUCAGAACAAGCUAAGAAAACAUCUAGGCAAAGAUGAAGCUAAUCAACGUUUUUCUGAAUCAUUGCACCUAAUAAGCAUAGGAACCAAUGACUUUUUAGAGAACUACUACAUUUUUCCUACCAGAUCUUCGGAGUAUUCAGUUGACGAGUAUCAGAGCUUUCUGAUAGGAAUUGCCAGCAAUUUCAUCAGAGAGCUUUACAAGCUCGGAGCUCGGAAGGUAGUCAUUGGCGGCCUUCCUCCAAUGGGAUGCUUACCAUUGGAAAGAACAACAAAUAUGUUCUUUGGAAGUGACUGUAUCGAUGAGUAUAAUGAUGUGGCUAAAGAUUUCAACAAGAAGUUACGGGGUGCAGUCACAGAGUUGAAACAGGAGCUUGGUGGAAUCCAUCUGGUUAUGUCAAGCCCCUACGAUAAGCUCAUGGAAAUGAUUCGGAAUCCAAGUCACUUUGGUAAGUCAUUAUCGAUAGUUUACAAAAGUUAAACUACUGUUACUAAGGUCAUAUAUAAAGAAAAAGAAUACCUAGAAUAAGAGCACAUCCACUACUUGAAUCCAAUCACCUAACUUGUCCAAACGGUUAACUACUGUUUUAUGCCAUCCACAUGGGUCAGAUAUUAUGUACAAAACUAGUCUAGUAAAAUUAACCAUGUUGAACCCCGUAAAUAGCGCAGUUACUUCAUUCAGCUUCCCUUAAACGGUAGCAUAUAUCAAAUCUUGUUUGGAAUCCUAGCAUCUACAAGCCUUUCCUUAUCCCUGAUUAUGGCUUCCUUCGUACCCAAGAUAUUCAGUAAUAUAAAUGAUUUUGCAUGCGUUUUAUUAGAGACAUUGCUUACCUCUACGGCCAUGAGAUGAUCCUUUGACUUCAAGCAUGAAUGGACUAAGACAUAGAAGGCCGAUAUACAAAAACACAAUCAUGGAUACAAGUAUAUGAAACCAGACAGAAACUAGGUACUUUCAUGCCCCCCAUGUUGUCACUUGCCUUGAGCAAGCCUCAAGAACUCAUUCACUAGUUUCAUCCAAUGAACUUUUUUGUUUAAAACAUGCAUAAAACCAUGCAAUAUCAUACCACCUAAUAAUGAAGAGCCAUAACACCAUAAAAACAAACCUUUUCAGGCAAAGCAAAGCAAUCUCUGUGUGUGUGUGUGUGUGUGUUUGGAUGUGUUCUUGAACCUAUGUGCGCACAGUAUGAAUGCAGAUGUAAUUAGGCAAGUGUUUUAACAUACUUCUCCUCUUAUGGUAAAUUUCUUAUAAAUUUUCUACAUUACAGGAUUUGAAGAUGCAGAAACAGCAUGCUGUGGGACUGGAUUCUUCGAGAUGAGUUACCUGUGUGAUAACAUGAACCCAUUUACAUGUUCAGAUGCCAAUAAGUAUGUAUUCUGGGACGCCUUCCACCCGACAGAGAAAACAAAUGCCAUUUUGGCUGAUUAUGUGGUCAAAACUACCCUAGCCGAGUUCCAAUAAUUACUAAAAGUAAAAGAAAGCAGCACUGCUUCAUUGUUGUAGAUGCCAAUAAGUAUGUAUUCUGGGAUGCCUUCCACCCGACAGAGAAAACAAAUGCCAUUUUGGCUGAUUAUGUGGUCAAAACUACCCUAGCCGAGUUCCAAUAAUUACUAAAAGUAAAAGAAAGCAGCACUGCUUCAUUGUUGUAGAACUAGUAUUAGUAGGCAUUAUAUUUACUAUUGCCUUUUCAACUACAUCCAAUGAAGGAAAAUAUAGAAAACAAUAAGUCAACUGGAUGAAUGCAUGUUAGAUGAGAAAACAUAAGAACAAGUUCAAACUUCAAAUCAAGCAAGUUAUCCCCCCCCCCAAGAGAAAACAGCUAUUUCUGUUGUGAUCUAAGAGGUUCUGCAAUUUUUUUUAUUUUGGAAGAGUGGUUUUGCAAAAUAAUUGCAAGAAAGAACCAUUCAAUAUUUCAAAAUCUAAUAGACGAUAUUGCUGUAAGAAGAGAAAACAGUUAGAUUCAGAAAAGCUUCCUAAGAGAUCCCACCAUAGAAAUGGACAUUGUCUACUCGAAUAAGAUUAACAAAUAAAAUUGUUCUUCAUUAUAAACUAAGAUCCUUCAAAGAAAAGGUUUCGUUGAGAGGGAAAGCCUAAAUUUUAAUAAGAAAUUUGCUCCAAACUAUCAAAUAUCAGCAUAUACAAAUAAUAAUAAUAAUAAUAAUAAACUGAUUUAAAAGAACAUGAAGCAGCUAGAGAUCUUCAAUGACAAGAUAUGGGAGACACUCGGUGCAGCACAACUUGAAUCCUUCGGCUUAUUUUGGCACUUUAGGAAAAUGCAGUUUGAUAAGUGCAGGAAGUUCAGCCAGCUCAACUUGAGGCUUGCCCAAUAAAAUACUCCUCAAUUUCUCAUCACAAUUGACAAGAUUCUUGUUGUUUGGAUCCUAAUCAAGAAAAAGUGACAUGCUGAGAGAUCUUUGGGUAAAUUUGUGUAUAUACCAGGGCAUCAAGACUAAAAGUUCAAAAUCAAUCUAUGAGUAUAAGGUUCAAAGAGUAGAGAAUGAUUCCAAAAAAUGAGAAUUACAAACUUUAUGAGCCCAGUGCUGAAUUGCCAGCCAUGAUAAACAAUUAAACAUACAUAAGAAAGCCUUCAUAACAAAUAAAAUCAUUUAAGAACCACUAGACUCUAGAGCAAGUGGUGGUGACAACAGCGGUGCCCAUGAAUUCCAUCUUAUAGCAUCAAACUGUCUAUGAUAAAAUGAAUGAUCCAAAACAUGAUUAACAUUUCCUGGGACAUACAAUGCAAACCUGUAGAGAGAUGAUAUCAUUAUCAUCAUGAACACACAUCUUCACAAAUUGUAGUAAAACAUUAUCAUUCAUGGAAACAAUGAUAUAAAGAUGCCAAAUGUUUGAUAAUAAACACCUGAUACAGAUAAAAUACUCAUUUGAAAACUCAUAUUAACCCCCGGGGGGGGAGGCUAUUUGUCCCUACUUAAACAUCACAACAACUUACCAAUCCAACUCUGACAUGCUAAUAACGAAUUGGAAGACCCAACUAUCAAUGAACCAUGAGAUUUAUUCAAUAAUCUACAGGCAACGCCAGGGAGUGCAAAACAAUAGGAAAAAGAUAUGGGUGAAUAAAGCCUCUCCAAGAUUCGUUUACAAACAUUUGAUUGAACAGAGGAUAGACCUAAGAGUACCUGAAGAUUGUUCUCUUUGAUAUAAGACCAAACACGAAAGAAGCAACCCAAACGUGAAAUCUGAGACUGACCCACAAAUUCUCUAACUGGGGAAGGAAGAUUUGCAAGGUCAAUCAAGUUAGCAAGCUUCUUGGGGUUAUCAGUGAUUGUCUUCUUCAGUCUCUGUGGCAGCAUUUUUUCUACCUCCUUCUCUUCUUCCUCGCUAUAUAUCCAAAAAACCAUACAUCAAACACUUAACAAAAUAAUAAUAAUAAUAAUAAUAAUAACAAAUUUUCAACACCCAAUGAAUUUUAAGAAAAAAAUUUAUGUUCUUUGCUGCUAAAAAAAGCAGUACAAGCUUAAGCUUCUGGGGAAUUUUAUCAAACAGUUGGCGCCAUUUGGUUAUCGAAUUCGUAACCUUCUACAUUCGUUGUCAAUUGCUAAAAUUAAUAGUUUUGUUAGAAGAUAGUUCAGCUGGUUUACCUGAAGAGGAACGGGAUGGCGGCAAAGUUCAGGGGUUAAAAUGGUAAAGAGAAGCAGUUCUGAAUACCAAACUUCAAGGUUUUGCAGGCGAGAGAGAGAGAGGGAAACGAAAGCGUGAGUAAAGGGCACUUAGUAAGAACUGAUGGUUGCUUUGCUUGAGUUCUUCAAAACGGCAAGGGUAGUAAUAAUGAAACCACAAAUUUUAUAUGUGUUUUAUUUUUUAUUUUUGGUAAUUUUUAUUAUUUUUAAUAGUUUUUGGUAAUUUUCUACAAAUUUAUAUAUUCCUUUUAUAUUUUUGCAAUUUUUUCAUAAAUUUCUUAUCUUUUAUAUUUUUUUAAUUUCAAGGCUAAUAUAAUAAAACAGCUAGUUUUGUAAUUAAAUAAGUCACUAACUUGAUUUUAAUUUAUAACUAAAAAUAUUUAAAACUUUUUAACUAAUUUGUCUUUUAUGUUGUGAAUUUGAUAAGAAUACAUAACACCAUCACUCUUUUUAAAAUUGUAUGUUGACGUUAAAGUAUAAAAUUUCUACUGCCUCGUUAAGAAAUUAAAAGACUGAAAUUUCAAAAAAAAAAAACUUUAAUAUUAAAAUCAAUGAUUUUUAUAGACAGAAACCAUAACCACAAAAGGGUGAAUUGUCAGAAAAUUUCACUUUUUCUUUAAUAUUUAUCAUAUUAGACCUUUUUUAAUAUUCGUGGAAUUAGGCCGAUUUUUUAAAACACGCUAAGUUAGACGAGUUUUGAUCAUACUUUGCAAGAAAACACGUUGAGUUGGACAUAUUUUCAGUGAAUGUUGCAGGAAAACGCUACCAGUUAGACGCGCUUUCUUGCUUUGUCAGUAAAACACUUCUAACUGGAUGCAUUUUUCCCAAUGGCUAUCCCGAGUGAAUUCCAACAACUACUUUCCACCCCCAACAGUAAAAAAAAAAAAACCUAUUUAAAACCCCUCAAUUCCAUUUUUUUUCAAUUCACUCUCAAUUUCUUUCAAUUCUCUCAAAUUUUAUAAAAAUUGUCUUAAGAAUUUUUUAUUUAAUUUUGUAUUAUGAAAUUUAAUCGUUUUUUUUAAUUCUUAAUGGUCAAUUUUCUUAUUCGUUUGGAUGACAAACACAUUUCAGUCUUCUAAUUGCAAAUGGUAAAAAUAAUAUUUAUAUUAUUUUUAAUCUAAUUUAAUUUCAUUAUUAAAUUGUUAUAUUGAAAUUUAAAAUUUUGUAUGUUUUCUUUUAUAAGUAGGUGGAAGAUUGAAUUUUGGAGACAUAUAUUAAACAGUCUUGACGCAAUACCCGUGACAACACACGUAUGCGAAGCGGUAUAUUUCUUGAUAGUCCAUAACCCCGUCUUUUUCUUCAUAGAAGUCAUGAUUUUCCAUGGACAUCUACUAUCUUGCAUUGCACAUUUCGCCUCGAAUUUCUCUGAUCGAGAUUUAACAAUGUAGAAGUUUACUCUAUUCUUUAUGUUGUAUCACUUCAUUGCUACGACAAAAGCAUCUUUAGAGGAGAACUCAUUCUCCACUUCUAAAUCAUCAGCAUCCAACAAAGAACUCGCAUGGUCCGAUUCUGUGUGGGAGUUCUGAAAACACCAACCCACCUUCUGCUGAGAGAUCUACAUUAUGCAUAUGGGUCGGAGGUGAGUAUGUCCUGAAUUGUAGAUCUUCUUCGACGGCUUCAUUCGUACCUUCAUCGUCUGAACCUCUAUCUUCUAGUUCAGUUGGAACCGGUUCUGGUUUAGAAAAUAAUGUAAUUUCUAAAUCAUCCAGCCCAGACUCCUACAUUGGAUUGUCAUUGGUUUUAGUGUCCUCUUCAAUCUCAACCCCUCUAGCAUGUCCAAGGUUGGAUGUCCCUUCACCGGUAGAGGUUGUAGGGAGUACAUCAUCCAUUCUUGUAUAGUUGUCGGUACAACCAAAACCACCUGCAGAUUGUCCACCGGUGGAACUUAAUGUCAUACCCCUGUAAGUGUUCCCGACGUAUAACAUCAGACUCUCAAAGUUGAAAUCAAAACUACUAACAGAGUGUCAUGUCAGGGUGUUGACUGCCUAUAAAUGAGUUACCGUUUACAGAAUAAAUAUAACACCAAAAAUACAAGAGUUAAGAAUGAUGGUGUCCGGAAGUGCACAGGUCAAAUUGUAAUAUAAUUUUACAACGAAAUACCAGAAGUAUUCUGAGAAUCAUACCCAAAGGAGGAUGAAAUAAAUAAUGAAAAAUAUUUUUUACAAUAAUAAGUCUAAAUAGUAGUAAUUAUUUCCUAUAUACUAUUAACCAUAAAAAUAGAUUAAGAACAAUAAAAAUAAAUAAACAACAAAAAUAAAUAAAUAAAGAAAAAUAAACAAAUUAAUUAAAUUGAUAAACCAAUCAGGAAGAUUAACUCGUUUCAUGGUUUGUAACUAACUUCGGAUUAAGGUUUUGAGAUGGAUUAGUAAUCGAUUAACUAAUUAUUACCUCUCGGUCUCUAAUUAACUAAUUGAUUCAUUGAUAAUAUUCGCUUAUCUCCCGACCUCACUUUCUCAACCAAGAUAAUUACGAUUUACUCAAUUUGACUUAUCUUCCGACCUGUUCUAGCUUAUGAUAACUUAUUAGGGUUGUCAAGCCUAACAAUUUAAAAACACAUAAUUUAUACCAACUAAUCCUUCUUGAAAAACCCCAAAUUCUUUGUUAAUCACAUCCUCAUCCACUCAUUAAUCUCCCCUAAGAUAUUUAGUCACUCAUGCUUUUAAUAAUCCCAACUUCGAUUGAACAAACCAAGUGAAAAACAAAACCAACUUGGAGAAGAAAAGAGAUUUGAAUAAUUGUAGAUUGAAUAUAAAAUGAGGAACGAAAUAACAAAUCUCUCGAUUGAAAUAAAGAAAUAAAACAAAUGUAAAUAAAAUUAUAAUCGAAUACUUUUAAUUAAAUAAACACGUUAUUGAAUCAAAACUAAUUCAAGAAGAAAAACAAGAAAGUUAUGAAAAGUCGAAAAGAAAAUAAACUACAACUGCUUUUAAACUACGAGGGUUUUUUGAAGGCGUCUAGGAUGACUUGAUUAUAUUCAACCCUUAAUGUCUUAUUUAUAGAGGUGUCAACAAUUCAUAUUAGGUGUUUGGCACGUCCUAGGUCUUCAUAUAAGUUUGAUUGCGUAGACAAAAAUUACCCCAAAAUACAUAGGCAGCACGUCGGCUUUAUGUCGCACCACACACCUUGCAUGGUGUGACACGACACCCAAAUACUAUCUUGUCUCGUUCAUUUUGUGCUUUGAUGUUCAGGAAAGCUUGUACAUCAUUCGACCCUUACUUCCACGUCAAUUGGACCUUUAUAUAUCCAUCUUACACACUGAAUUAAACCAAUUAGCACAAUCUCAGGCCCGUGUCAGUCUAUUGGGUCACAACACCUACAAACUGUUUAAAAACACUUAUUUUUAUUAACUUUCAAUCCUAAGGUCUAAUUACUGAAAAAGUUGUCGAAACCAUUUUUUUAUUUGAAAAAUGGAAAUCGAUUUUGAAAAUGGAGUGGCCACCAAUCUUUUAUUGGGGUGUGAUCAGGUCACCUUAAAAAUGAUUUUAGGUCUACAAAUUUUGAGAAAACAAGUUCGGGAGUCGGUUACGCACAAGGAAGGGUUAACACCCUCGUAACGCCCAAAAUUGGUACCGAAUUAAUUGUUUAAUGUCUUAGUGUCGAAACUUGAAAAGAUUUUUAAAUACGAUCCCAUGAAAUGAAAGCUUAAAUAAUUGAAUUGGCUAAAUAGACGGACCUAUUUCAAAGAGAUAAAUCGCCACACUCAGUAAGUUAGAGUGCAGCAAUUCAAUCUUCGGAGCUAGAUUCGUCUUUCCUUUUUAAAAAUUUUUAAAAAAAUCAUAUGUUUUAAGAAGGAUAUUUGAUUAUUUAAGCCAAUCGAGAAAUCAGAAUCCAGUAAGUUAGGGUUCAAUUUCUCGAAAUUCUUAAACAUCAAAUAUUGCCUUUAUUUUAAAAUCGAGACAACAAAAUGUCAUAUCCAGUAAGUUAGGAUCCAACAUUUUGAAAUCUUAAGAACUUUAUUUUAACAAUUGUAUGGUUUUAAUAAAAUGAACACUUGAUUAUCUAAAUUCAUCGAGAAGAAUUGAAGCCCAGUAAGUUAGGGCACAAUUCUCUUGAGAACUUAUGAACACCAAGCUAUUUUAGGAAUUAUGAAAUAAAAUGAUUAUAGUGCUUUAAUAAAAUACAACUCUUACAAAUGAAACAUGAUUGAAUAACAAUACAUAAAAUGCAAAAAAAAAAAAAAUAGCAAUAUAAAUUUACACUAAGGAGCAAUCAAGCAUGUAAUACAUCAACAUUGAUAAUUAUGCAUAUAAUAAAUUAAUAAUCAGUUUUCUAAAGAUACUUUGAUUAGAAAUAAAAUAAAAUAAAAAUAUAGUUAAUAUGGAAAUUUAAAAACAAUUUGAUAAUAAAUAACCAAAAUAAAGUAAAGGAAAUAAAUAAUUUUUAAGAAAGAGAGUAUUUAUGCAUUGAAAAAAACUUUAUAAUUCGAAAUUAAUAAUAUAUUUUAUACACAUGUACACCAAAAAUAAUUCCAUAUAAAUAAUAUAUACAUAUAUAUAAAAGAACCAUGUAAUAUUAUUGUGAAAAUAAAAUUUGAGUUAUAUUAUGAAAUACAUUAUUUAAAAAUAAUAAGUAAUUUAUCAAAUUUUUAUAAAAAUAUAUCAAGAAUGAUGGAAACAAAUAAUAAUAUAUCAAGUUGGAAAAUAAAAGUGUACAAUAGAAAUUUUGAAAUAAUGUUUAAUAAAUUUAAAACAUAUUGAUAAUAAUAAUUUGAAAGAAUUGUGUAUUAUAUCUUAAAAUUAUAUUAAUAAUCAGUUUGAAAACAAUAUUAAGCCAAUAUUAAAAUAAUAUUAAAAAUAACGGAUUAAUAUGAGAAUUGAUUUAUUUUUAAAAAAUACUUUUGAAGGCAAAAUUAAAUAUGAAAAAAAACUUUUUUUUUAAAUUAACAACAAUAAUUAUAAUAAUAUCAACAAAUUUUAAAAUCGAAGCUUAAAUAAAAUUAGUAUAAAAAAGGAAAAGAAAAUUAAAUAAAUAUACAAUAGACUCAAAAUAUUGGUGUAUAAUGAAUUUAAAAAUAUUAAAAAAAGCUAAAAUAAUAAUUUAUUACAUUUUAAACUAUAAUAAUAGUAAAUUUAAACACUAUCAAAAUCAAAUAUUACAAAUAAUAUUAAAUUUUAUAAUAUAUGAAAGUAGGAUUAAUUACAUUUAAAAAUAUUAUUGAAUUAAAAAUGAAAACUAAAUUUGCAUUAAAUUGAAACAUAUUUCAACGUUGAAGGACUAAAUCAGCAAUUAAACGCUAAACCUGAAUAAUCAAAAUCAAUAGCAGAAAACGAUGCCGUUUAGGCUUGGAUCCAAAUGAAAACAGAAUUAAAUAUGCAGUACAAAUUAAAAAAACUGAAGAAAAUUAGAUUGAAACUACAUAAAACAUAGAGGGACUCAUUUCGCAAAUAAACCGACGAACGAAACGCGUGGCUCCUGCCCCGGGUCGGGUCACCGCGCGGAUACCUGCGUCAUACCACGUCGUUUUGAGACCACAAGGCCCGGCCUCAAACGACGCCGUUUCUAGCUAGACAUAAAAACUAAAGUAACCCUAAUUUAAACAGACUCUUCUUCCUAAAAAAAAGAAAAGCAGAGACUUAAAAUGAGCAGAUCCUCGGUGUCACAUUUUGGAACCUACUGCUCAUGGGACCUUCAACCCUCGCCCGGCUCCAAUUGUGACGGAGCGAACGACGGUCAGGUAAGUUCCUUGCUCUUUUUUCUUUUCUACUUCAAUAUUAAUCAAUGAACAAAGGAGCAGAAAAAAAAAACAAAGAAAAGAUUAACUAUCACCUUUCGAAUUUUUCUUUUCACUGAAAAUGAGUUUUUUUGUAUUCAAUUUCUCUGAAUGCGUAACUGUUUACAGUCUAUUCUUGGAUUUUUUAUAGCCUGAUUUUUUUACAAGAGAAAAAGAAAAUUAAAAUAAAUAAAAGGAAAAUUGCCCCGUCCUUGUUAUUCUGUUAUUUUCUUUUGCUCUCAUUUUCGUGUGUUUGCUUGCAGGUACUCGGCCAGCCUGGAGGUGCAUCUGUGUGGAGAUGACGCACGCGCCUAGUGGCGAUGCACGCGCAAGGUUUGUUGGAUUCAUCUAUGGCGCUGAAGCAGGGGUCUGUUGUGGCUUCACCAGAUUAGUCUAGAAACCACUAGGGUUUCUAAUUUUGGGUUGUUUGGGCUCGAUGUAUUCGGGUUUGGGCUUGGGUAAUGUAUUUUGGGUUUGGUUAUUUAAUUUCUGGUAUGUAAUUAGGUGGUGUAUUGGGAUGACUAGGUUGAGUAUUAGGAAAUUUGGGUUGGGCUAUUUUUGGCCUGCUGUUGUAAUGAAAAACUGGACAUUUUAUUAUUAUUUAUUUUAUAUAUUUUUCAUAUCUGGGUUUUAAUAGUUGGGCUCGGGCCGGAAAAAAUUUGGGUAUUACAAACGUAAAAUAAAAUCCUAAAUUGCCUAGAAAACAAGUUCAAAAAAUAGACAUUUUCUGUUAAUUCACACCUACAGAAAUAAUUUAAGUGUUUGUUUAAAUAAAGUUUAGAUAUUUUUACUAUAUUAGUACAUUUUUAAUAGAGACGGAUAGAAGGCAUGAGUUACUGGCAUGGUGAAACAGCGAAGCCCCCAAGACCAAGAGAGAUCUGUUUUAGUAGGCGUUCAUCUCAAACAAAACAAUAAAGUAAAGAAUAAAACCUGAACAAGUGAGCUGGGACUAGGAGAAUCCAAUAAUUGCCUAAAACCCCAACCCCUUCAGAAUCAUAACAUAAACAAAACCCACCACGGUAGAAAAGACAAAUAGGGUUUUUGAAACAAAUUCAGAUUGGGCUUUAUAACUUAAAAUGAAGAAAAAAGUACAGAAAGUCCAGGCUAAGCUAAAUGCAAGUUCUGGCCCAUAAACAAAUCAGAACUGUGGACCAAAUCCUAAAGGAAAAUAGAAAAAAAACAGUCUUUAAGCAACUUAAAAUCAAAAUCUUCUAAAACCUAAUAAAUGCUAUCAUAUCUUGCCCAAUCAGAAAAAAUCCAUUUCUGUCUUUUCAAAAUCAUCUAUUCAUUUCUUCAAAGAGACGUUUCCAGAUUUUAAUGAAGCCUUGUCUGCCACUCCUUUGAAUUAUCACUAUACAGCUUCUUUAACCGUUCACUUCUUCUCAACACAUGUCCUCUGCCUUUCUUUCGAUUUCUUCCAGAUUAGCAGCAUACUCCGGGACUCUUCCAAUCAGGUAAAGUUCUUCUUUUUCCUUUAAUGUCACCGUCGCUAGUUUGUGUGCCAGGUUGUUCGCUUCUCUGGGAAUAUACUCAAGAUAGUAUUUUCCAAAAUUUUUUAACAGCUGAUGUAUAUCUUGGAUAUAUGCUCCGAUUCUGGAUUUAUCAUGGCUUUUCAGUUUGCACUUCUUUAUAAUAGAUAACGCAUCCCCUUCGAUAAUAAUGUUUGACCAUUGCAUGUCCCUACUUAUUUGAGUUGCUGUACGACACGCUAUUGCUUCUGCGGCAAAGGCUGAUGCCACAUGAUGAUGAAUCUCUGUGCAUGAUAAAAGUGUGUUUCCAUCACUAUCCCUGGCCACGAUUCUCGCUGCUGAUUGCCGUGAGUUCCCAUCAAAUGCUGCAUCGAAGUUAACCUUCACAAACUGGACCGGUGGGUACUUCUAUUCCCUGCCUGUUUUUGCUCCAAUCUCAUUCAGUUCACUAAUAUAUCUCUUUCCCAGAUCUAUUAGUCUUUUCAUGCACUCUCCUAUUCCUUUCUCCCCAUAUUGCCCAAAGAGCACAACAAAAGAUCCGUCACCGAUUGGUGGAAUUCUGUUCAAAAACCCAGGUAAGCCAUUGUACAAAAUCCACAUGAGGAACUUGUAAUAACUCUGGGAAUAAUAGCUCUUCCCAUACUGUUCUUGCCACAAGACAUUCACGGAAUAUAUGAUUUGUAGAUUCUACUGCACUGCCACACCCGAUGCAUGUCACAUUGUUUAACAGCCUUCUGUAGUUCAAGUUGACUCGAGUCGGGAUAUAAUUCCAUGAUAUUUUCCAGAUUGAAAUUUUUACCUUAAGAGGUAGAUUAAGGAGCCAUAGGUUUCUGUAGAAAUUUCUAGAAUCAUUUUGUAAAGCAUAAGCACAAGGGUCAUUUUCGAAGCCAGACCAGGAAGUCAUCGUGAGGUUCUUUUGCAAGUGGGAUACAGAAGAUUUUCUCAGAUAUCUCCGCAGGAAAGGUAGCUUCGAUUAGUUCUUUUUUCCAUUCUUUGUUUCUGUCUUCAAUUAGAUCUGCAACUUUAUAUUCCUGCAAAUGCGAUAACCUGGGAUAAUUGGUAAAAUAAAAUGAUAAUUUUGGAUAAUCCGGUAACCAACUAUCAUUAAUGACCGAGAUUACAGUACCCCUCUCUACUUUCCAACAGCUUCCAUCGAAUAGAACACCUCUCGUUGCCCAUAUGCUUUUCCACGCAAAGGAACUAUUAUUCCCAAGAUACGAAUUAAGGAAAUCCGUUUCUGGAAAGUAUUUAGCCUUUAACACCCUUGCAACUAACGAGUUUGGAUUAUUUAGGAUUCGCCAGCCUUGUUUAGCUAAUAAGGAGAUAUUAAAAUUAGCCAUACUCUUGAAACCUAUACCUCCUUGUUCUUUUGCUCGGCACAUAUUUUGCCAUUUACACCAGUGAAUUCCUCUUUUUCCUUGCUUCUUUUGCCACCAAAAGGUGGCGAAUAAUUUUUCCAAUUCGUCACAUAGGGAAUUAGGGAGAAGAAAGCAUGACAUAGCAUAAGUCGGAAGUGCCUGAAGUAUGGAUUUAAUGAAAACUUCCUUGCCUCAUUGUGAUAAUAGUCUGGUGCUCCACCCUUUAAUUAUGGAGUUAACUUUAUCUUUUAGAUAUUGAAAAGCCUCCUUUUUCCGUCUUCCAACUACAUUAGGAAGGCCCAAAUACUUCUCCAUAUUUGUUGACCCUCUUAUACCUAAGCUCACUGAAACUUCCUCUCUAUCUCUGGUUGAUGUAUUCGAGCUAAAGUAAAUUGUAGAUUUUUCAAAAUUAACACAUUGGCCCGAACAUACUUCAUAUUCCUUAAGGAUUUCUUUUAGCACCCUUACAUCCUUGUUAGUUGCUUCUCCGAACAGAAUGCAAUCAUCGGCAAAAAGUAGAUGUGAAAUCGCUGGUCCUUUCCUGCUUGCCUUGACUCCUCUUAUUCGUCCUUCUUUCAAUGCUAAUCUCAUUAGUGCCGAAAGACCCUCGCUGCAUAGUAGAAAAAGGAAAGGACUAAGUGGGUCACCUUGUCGUAGUCCUCUAGAAGAUUGAAAGAUUCUUCCCCCUUUUCCAUUAAUAUUGACUGCAUAAAAAGCUGUAGUAAUGCAUUUCAUAAUUAAACCGACCCAUUCUUUUGCAAAACCCAUUCUCAACAUGACUUCCUUAAGAAAACUCCACUCAACCCUAUCAAAGGCUUUGCUCAUAUCAAGUUUAACUGCCAUAAAGCCUUUCUUACCUGUUCGUUUUCGUCUAAGAGUGUGUAGGAUCUCAUAGGCUAGCAAUAUGUUAUCAGAAAUUAACCUUCCUGGGAUGAAAGCACUCUACGACAGAUCAAUACACUGCCCAAUAACCCCUUGAAGUCUGUUGGCUAUUACUUUCGCCACAAUUUUGUAGAUAACAGUACAUAGACUGAUAGGUCUGAAACUUGUUAUGUUUUUGGGAUUCUGUGCUUUUGGGAUCAAAACAAUACCAGUAAAAUUUGAAUGGCCUAAAUUUUUGUCACUGUUUAAAAUUUCCAAACAAAAAGUGGUGACUUCUUUACCUACAAUAUGCCAAUAUUGUUGAAAGAAAAGUGCUGGGAAUCCAUCAGGUCCUGGUGCUUUAGUUGGCCCCAUUCCUUUCAAGGCAAGAUGCACUUCUUCUUCCGUAAAUUUUCCCAUUAAGUCUUCAUUUAUUUCUGGUGUGAUUUUCUCUUCAAUGCCUGUUAGGAGGUAGGAUAGCUCACCUACUCCUUUUGAUAUAAAUAACUUCUGAAAGAAAAGAGUAGCUUCUUCACUGAUCAUGCAUUCUUCCGUCACUUCUCCUCCUUCGAUAAGUUCCAGCCUUGAUAUCGUGUUUUUCUUUCGUCGAGAUGUGGCGUGCCUGUGAAAAAAAGCUGUAUUUUUGUCCCCUGCUUUUAUCCAAUUUACCCUUACCCUUUGUUCCCAAUAUCUUUCAUCUUUAUCAAUUUCUAAGUUUAGGUGCACCUUAGUAUCAAUGAUUUCUGCCAUUAUGUCAUCGGUAUUUAUCCUUCUCCAUCAGCAUCUCCAGUUUCUUUGUAAGCCUUUUCUUCAGCCCUUCUUGUCCUUUUUUAAUUUCCCCUGCCCAUUUUUUUAAGUCUGAUUGUAAUUUUUCCAGUUUCUCCAGUACGUUAUUUGUAGAUGAUUCCCAAGAUGCUUUAAUUUCUCCUUCAAGAGACUCUUCCAUAGUCCACCAUGCCUCAAAAUUAAAAAUUGGCUUUCCAAAAUUAUCAUUUUCUGUUUUUGUAGUAAGCAGCAGAGGAUAAUGAUCAGAUAAUGAAUGGGGCAAGUGAUGAAUGUUACCCAUUGGAAAAAGAUUCCUCCACUUAUCAUUGGCUACUCCUCUAUCAAGUCUCUCUUUAACAUUUGUUUCUGGUAUAUUUCCCCUUUCCCAUGUGAACCAAGGCCCUAUGUACCCUAAAUCUUCCAAGUUGCAUUCUUCAAGAGUUUCUCUAAAAACCUCCAUCUGUCUUUCAUCUCUUAGUAAACUUCCUUUUUUCUCAAAAGAAUACAUGAUUUCAUUAAAAUCCCCACUCACAACCCAUGGAUAUGUCUGGUCUUGUCCCAAUUUUCGUAACAAAUUCCACGAAUCAUUCUUCAGAUUGACAUAAGGGGAACCAUAGAAACCUGUAAAUCUCCAUUCUUCAUUGUCAGUUUCUUCCAUAACCAUUGCAUCAAUAUGAUUCUUAGAAAAACUUCUUAAGGUAACCGUAAUCUCUUCUCUCCAUGCUGAGCAUAAACCACAUCGAGAACCUUCUACAUCUACAUCAAAUCCAUUCUGAAAACCACAUCUUCUUCUAACUUUCUCCAUACAUUGCUUGCUUAAUUUUGUCUCCAUUAAGAAGACCAUUUGGGGGUUUUGCUGCUUUAGAAAGUAUCGCAGCCUUCUAACUAUUCGUGGACUCCCCAAUCCACGAACAUUCCAAGUAAUGAUUUUCAUUGCGUUCGGCCGGCUUGCCUCUUGGCAGCCGCCGAUCCUAUGAGUAAAUUAGUAUCACUCUGUUGCAUAGCGUUUCCCAUCGUUUCUAGUAGCGUUUCUCCUUGUUCCUGUUCUCUAUCUUUUUUAGUCCUUUUGUUUCAACUCCAUAUUCAGCUUCUAUAUAGUAAGUCUCUACUAUUUCUUCAGUAGCUUUCCUCUUCUUGUUGCAGUUUCCAUCCUUUUGCUUUGCCACUUUAGGGCUGGAUUGACUCUUCUCCAAGUUGACGACUUUACUGAAUUGGGAUUACUGUCUUGACUUCUCCUCUUAUCAACCACUCACUCAUUGCUCAUAACUGAAUCUUCUUUUUCCUGCUUCUUCAUCUCCUCCUUGUUUUCAUUCACUAGUAGCUCCCCAUGCGUCAUCCCCAACCAAUUAUUUGCUUCUUCAGCUUUGCCAUCUUCAAUCAAAUCUGGCUCAGAGCCACCUGUAUAAAAACAUUGAACCCUAUUCUGAUUUAAAGAGUUAUUUAAUUUAAUACACUCUUUUCCAAGUAAGUUUGAUUCUGCUCUUAGUGCCAUCGUGUAUGGGGGAUUUUCUUUAAUUUUUGUUUUUUCUGCAGGAUUUAGUGAGUUACAACCUGAAAGUCCGUGCCCCAGCUUCCCACAUCUGAAGCAAAAAGUCGGUAAUUUUUCAUAUUUAAAGGAAAUCCACCAUUUAUUCUUAUUAUUCACUGAGACAAAAAUACCUCUUCGAAGGGGUUUCUGCACAUCGAGAUUUAUUUUUAGACGACACCAUUCUCCGUUGAUUUCAGAUCUGAUUAUCCCACCAAAAGUGACACCUAUGGCAUGUAGCAAGUCUUUUUUAUCAAAUUAUGGUAGACAUGGUCCUACCUUCAGCCAGACCGGUGAGGAGUUGAGCCGAAUCUGAGACCUUUCCACCGAUUGGGUAAUCCUGUCGAAAAGGAUUAGACUCUUUCGAAAUAACCAUGGCCUACCUUCCAUAAUCAAUUCUAAAUCCUCUUCCAUCUCAAACGCUAUCAAAAAUAGGUUUUGUCCUGCUGUUUGAAUCUCAAACUUCUUUUCUGUUUUCCACAAACUCUUCAUCUGUGCCCUAAAACUUUCCGGAUUGUAAAACUUCUCUGUCCAUAUUGUGCAGAUCAGGGUUGGUUUUUUAUUCGGAACUACCUUCGAACCUUUGAUAGAUAAUUGGAUAAGCUCUUCAGUUAAGAGUGAAAUCUCGUCCCUCUGCUCACUAUCAUCUCCACCGCUUUCCCCCAUCCCAAGUUGCAAAAGUGACUGCCUUCACUAGGACUCUCGGCGAAGCACUCUUGGAAAAGAAGUAACUAGGGUUUUUUUGUAAAAAAAAAAAUAUUACAAAUAUUUAACAAUGUAGAAUACUUUAAAUUGCUCUUAUUCAAAAAGACAAAUAGGGUUAAUUUAUCUAAAUAAUAUUAAAAAAUUAAAUAUUAAAAUAGAUUGUCAACUGGAUUAUAUACGAAAAUGAAUUUUUUUGGGUCGUGCCUAUCUGAUACGCGCAACAACUUUUUUAUAUUAAAAUAUCUUUUUACUUUAAAUAAAAUAUUAUUAUUUUAUUUUUAUUAAAAAUAUUUAAAUAUAUAUAUACAGGUCAAAAUACAGUUAACGAGUCAAAAUACGGGUUAAAAAUACCCAAGACCAGUCACGCCUAUCAGAUAGGCGUCACUGGUCGAGCCUGACAGGCAGGCGCCACUGCCUCCCCCCUGCGCCCCUCUGCCCCGCACAAAAAUAUACUUUUGUUAUUAAUUAUUAUUUAUAAAUUGUUUAUGUUUAGUGUUUAUGGUUUUGGGUUAAUAUUUGGUAUGAAUGUAAAUUUUUUUUAUAAUUAUUUUAAAAUUAAUUUGUUAGUAAUUUAGGAUUAUGUUAUAUGUAAUUAUUUUAAAAUUAAUUUAUUAGUAAUUUAGGAUUAUCUUAUAAAUUAUUGUGUUUAGUUUAGUAUUUGGUGAGUUUUUAAUAAUGUAAAAUUAUUUUUAAAAAAAUAAUUUUAUAGUUAUUUUGUUCAACCAGUCGCGCCUGUCAGAUAGGCUCCACCAGUUGCGCUUACUAGAUAGGUGCCACCUACCCCAUACCAUUUUUGUAUCCGGGAAAAAAAAAAUACAAACACCACGCCUAUGAGAAAGGAGCUGCCAAUAAAAUAAUAUUUAAAAAAAUAAAAAAUACUAUAAUAUAAAAAAAGAGGUUGCGCCUAUUUUAAUUUUUAUAUUAUAAUAUAAAAACAUACUAUUUUCGUAUAUAAUCCAGGUGAUAACCUAUUUCAGUAUUUAAUUUUUUUUAAUUAUUUAGGUAAAUUAACUGAAAGUAAAGAUUGCCAAAUCCCCGCUGGAGGAUGGAACAAAAAUAUGGUGGCCGGAAACACUCGAAACAGUGGUUCCAUACGCAACCAGAUCUGGCAUCCUACCCAAAAAACCAGCACAAAGGAUGAAAGAAGUGUCACUCCUCAGACCCGGUAGUGAUUCAAGUAUGAAGUGAUUGAAAACUUCAAACUUCAUGCAAAUUCUGCAACUUUACUGAAGCACAGAACAACAUUUUAACCAAUUGAAACGAUACAUCCGAACAUACCAAAUAAUUUUAUAUAUCAGUGUUAGAGUAUACGAUUUGGCCUACAUUGCUUAGCACUCAAAGUUAAUUACAUCAAGGGCAAAAAAUCAUCAGCGUCUCUAUCGGACACCACAUUUGUGUUCCUUUCGUGUAUAAUCUGAGCAAACCGUGUUCUUGAAGGAUAAAUUAAGCGUUGGUGAUCAUGAAAGCAAUCGUUGAUAUCCGAAUUUCUCGAUUUCGAGUAAUUUUAAGACUUCUUGACUGAAGCAUCCAAGUGAGCAGCAGCAACAAUGUCGGAUGGCAGAAGUUCUGAUGUUCUGCUGUUUCAGUUCAACAAAUUAAAACUGAUAAAUCCAAUAUGAAGAACUGUGUCAUAGGAAUGAAUCUGGAGACAACAAUAAACAAGAAGUUGUCAUCUACAGAUGAACCUCCAAACAUGCAAUGCAAAGGUGAAGCCAAACUUUAUGGUCCGGUGAUCUUGAUUUGGGCAAUCAAGUUUCAUUUGACUUGCAGCUUGUUAAACUGUUGACACAUAAUAUCAGUUGGUCAGAUUCGAAUGAACGAAUUAAUAUUAUCAGAAUGCAAGGGAUUUACAACUUCACCAACCUGCAAAGCCAUGAUGAAUUUUCCGAGAUAUGGUUGUUUCCUGGAAUUGAAAUCAAGACCUCUACGGAAACUGAAAAGAGGAUAAAGAUCCGAUAAAUACAACACAAAUAAAAGUAGCAUGAUGAAUGAAAGUAAGUAUGGAUGAACAAAAGGAAGCAAUGUAACACAGUAUACCAACAAGAAACCUGAAAAUUCCCAUACCAUGCACAAUCAUUCACUGCAAAAUCAAACAUUGAAAAUCUAGUUGUCAAUCUAAUCACUUCUCUGCGACAGACCUUCGAGAAAAUUACAGACCAUUUGUAUCACAAAGCAGCCUAUAAUUAGAGAAUUAUACUUCUAUCCAACAUUAGCCUUCAUAGUGAUGACCAAUUACAGGAAUUGGCUGCCUGUGACCUAGACCAGAAGCCAUCAUUUGAAAAUGUGAUACCUCCAGAUCCUGCAGUGCUCAGUCAAAGAUGACACAGCAUCAGAAUUGACAGGAACGAGACAGAUUAAGAAGAUUAGGGUUAAAAAUUUAAAGGAUGAUUCAAUUAUAGAACAAUACAAGCAAGUUAAGAAACAACCGUUAGCUAUACAAGUUCAUAAUCACGUAACCAAUGCCAGCGAUAAGACGAAACGAGAGCAUGAGCAUUUACCGUCUAAACUCUGAAGUCCUGCAAACAAAUUACUGAGCUAGAAUGAAGUUUUUGUCAGAUGGCUAGAGACAAAUCAACAAUAGUCUUGACAUGAACAAAUGCCGCUUUUGAAGUGAUGGAAACAAUUUGCAUCACGAACAACUAUCUCCUGUUUUAUGACACCAGAGACAAGCUUCAUAAAAUCAUGGCAGUCUUCACAUAUGUGCAAAUUUUUGAAUAUCCGAAUUGUUUUCACAGGGUUGAUGCUAAUAAGAGCAAAAGCAAGAGCUAAUCUUUCAUUAUGAUGAAAGAGCUGUUCUAAUUUUUCAUCAUCACUGACAUCAUUGAGUAUAUGAUCUGUCUUAGGCACAUAUCCUGCUAAAAUAGACUUCUCGACAAGCUCCUUCAAUUUUAUAUAGAUCUCCCCAUGUUUUGGAUGAAAACCAUCAGUGGACCUGAAGAUGUGCACUUGACCAUUGACCAUCACCCAACUACACCCAGGUUCUUUCUUAACACCACAAUGGGUCAUCAAUGCUCUGACUCUUCGGACAUCCUCCCACCUACCCUUGGCAGCAAAAAUAUUUGCUAGUAAUAUGUAAUGGGAGGCUAUACCAGGAUUAAGUUCGAAGAGUUUCUCAGCAGCACUUUCACCAAGUUUGUCAUUUCCAUGCAUUCUACAAGCCCCAAGAACUGUCUCCCAAAUCAAGGGAUUCGAUGUAACCUUCAUGUCCUUGAUAAAGCUUUCAACUUCAUUGAACUUGCCAGCUCGACCUAAAAUAUCAAUCAUACAGGCACAGUGCUUAAUUGUGGGUACUAUUCCAAAAACAUUGGUCAGGGAAUCAAAGUACUCUUUCCCUUCAUUUACAAAGCCCAUAUAACUACAGGCAGAUAAAACUGCUAUGAACGUAACCUCAUCUGGCUCAAGGCCUUUGUCUAACAUCAUCCUAAAAGUUUCUAAAACCUUCAAUCCUUGUCUAUGUUGCAGGUAUCCAAAUAACAUCGUGUUCCAUGAUACAGUAUCCGUUGACACCAUGCCCUGGAAAGCAGCUUCAGCUUCUUCUAUGCAUCCACAGUUAGCAUACAUAUCUACAAUUGAAGAAGAUACAAACAUAUCACCUGAAUUCCCAGCCUUAAUUGCCAUUGAAUGAAGCAGCUGCCCGUUUUCCAACAUCGCCAUAUUGGAGCAACUACUCAAACAGGUAGCAAGAGUGAAAUUAUUGGGCGUGACACCUUGCCUCUGCAUAUGAUUGAAGCACUUGAUAGCCUUCUCUGAACAAUCACUUUGAGCAUAACCAGCAAUUAAUGCAGUCCAUGAAAAAAGAUCCCUCUCAAUCAAUUGAGUAAAAAGUAGCUCUGCAUCCGCCAAGAAUCCAUUUUUGGCAUACAAGUCAAUAAGAGAUGUUCCCACUAAAUUAUUAUCCUUUAGGCCAUUCUUUAUUAUAUGGGCAUGCACUUGAUGUCCAAAUUUUAUAUUUAAAAGAUUGGAACAAGAUCUUAAAAUGCUAGUAAAUGUACAGAUAUCAGGCUUAAAACCUUCAGCAAGCAUCUUGUGAAAGAUACUUGGUCCUCGAUCACAAGUUUUACCAUUAUGAGAUCCAGAAAGAAGAGAAUUCCAUGAAGCUGAAUUCCAAGAACUCAUUUCCUUAAACACCCGCCAACCAUUUUGGACUGACCUGAUUUUCAUAUACAUUGCAAUAAGUGCAUUGCUCAAAAUGAUUUCAGAUUCAAAUCCAUGUUUAAAUAUACAAGCAUGAACGCCUUCACAAUAUAACCGAUCACCCAAAUUAGCAGCUACACCAGCAAUAGAGGCAAAAGUAUGCUGAUUGGGGCUUACCCCUUUGCAUCUCAUUAGAGAAAACAACUCAGCUGCCUCUUGAAUCUGGCCUUGCUCAUCAAGGCAGUCAAUCAUUGCACUCCAGGCUACUAUGUUGGGUUCUUGAAUCCUUUUAAAAACCUUAAGAGUAUCCUCAGCCAGUCCACAUUUUGAGUACAUAUCAAGAAGGCAACAACCAACAAAUUCAUCAUGCUCACACCCGGUCUUAAUCACCAAAGAAUGUGCAAUCAAGCCCCAUGUUAAGUUUACCAGGUACGUACAACUUUUGAGCACAUUUGACAAAGUAAACUUACUACACCUCAAUUCAGAUUCCGUCAUCCCUUGAAACAAAUUCAAAAUCUUUCCUGCAUCGCCCUUUAGAGCAUAUCCAUUAAGCAAUGCAUUCCAUGAUACAACAUUCUUUUUAUCCAUGAACAGAAAUACUCUCUCUGCCAGUUCCAUCUGACCACAUUUCGCAUAAAGAUCAACAAGAGAGGAUCCAACAAAAACAUCCAACAAAACUCCAACUUUAACACCUUCCCCAUGCAACAAUGUACCAAAAAACAAAUCCAAACUCAAAGAACAAGCUUUCAAAGCGGUCACUAAGCAAUGCCCAUUUGGCAGAACCCCAUCUUUCUUCAUAGAACAAUACAAAUCCAACACAUAAUAUCCAUACCCUUCAUUAACCAAACCAGAGAACAGAGCGGCCCAAGACACAACAUCUCUUUCAGGCAUUCUAUCGAGCACUUUACAAGCAUAUCCAAAGACCCCACGUUUUGCAUAAGCAUUCACUAAGGAGUUCCAUAAAUGCAAAUCAGGGUCAAUCCCAUUUUUUAUUAUCUUCCCAUGAACAGCUUUGGCUGAACUCAAAGACCCUUUUGAUGCGCAAUCAUGUAGAAUCUUAGAGUAAAGCUUUAACCUUUUAGAUCCUUCAAGCUUUGUUUUUUCUUUGAAAAGUGGGACUUUUAAAGAUGGGUUUAUCUCUUCUGUGGCAACAUGGGCAGUAAAAGAAGAAACAAACUGAAAUGAGGCAAAAAGCAACCUCCUGGGGAAUUCAAUGACAAGACGGUUUUUUCUUGUGGACAAACAUCGAAAAACAAGUGAUUGAAUAAGCAUUGAAACAAAAUAAAAAAUUAAAAAAUAGCUUGGGGUUUCAGAUUUCUUUGUGUAAAGAUAUCGAGUUUGAAGCUUUUAUCUCGCUGUUACUUCAGAUAUAACUGGGCUGGGCUACUCACGCAAGUACGAAGUAUCAUUCGAAAGCUCGAAAAAUUUAGAUAAAAAUAUUAAGUUUAAAAAUAGGUUUGAAUAAAAAAUAUUAAAUCUAUUUAAAAAUAUGAGCUAAAUUCGGGUUUGAGCAUUUAGAAUUUUUGAUUUGAUUAAUUUUUAAGUUUGUAAUAUUUUAUAUUAUAUUAUAUUUAUAUGUUAUAUAAUUUAGAAUACAUUAAAAAAAUAAAACUAUAUUAAAUAUAUAUUAUUAUUCUAAUAUAAACAUUAAAAUAAUGUUAAGAUAACUAUAUAAAAAUUUUCUAUAAAUAAAAAGUAUAUAAAAUUAUUAAAUAUUAAAAUAAAAUAAAAUAAAUAUCUUUUUAAAAAAUUUAAAAAUAAUAUGUCGGCCUAAAAUGGAUUUGGAUUAAUCUUUUACAAAUAUAGACAUAUUUGAAUAAAAUUUUAAAUUCAUAUUUCGAGCCAAAUCGAACUUGGACAAGCAUAAAAUAUAUUAAUAAUAUGCUAAAGCCCAAUCUGAUCUAGUUCAUGAACAACUCUAAUAAGAUAGCUAGGCUCCUUGUACUUGGUCAGCAUAGGUAGAAAAUGAGACUGCUUUCUCUCUUCAUUGAUUGUAACAAAGCGUGCUUUCAAAUGGUUUUUAGGCUUUGGUUCCAAAGUGACGCGUACUUUCGAAUGAAACGUGCUUUAUGAUAUUUUCUGAGCAUUUAUAAUAGUACCAAGUGCUAUUCCUAUUUUGGCAUUUCUAAUUUCUAGAGUUUUAGCCCCAGUUAAAAAGGGUCUAUAAAAACUUUUUAGUUAUGAAUUGGGUAUAGAACCAAUAGGCGAUGCUUGGUUACAAUUUCGAAUCCGUUUUUACAUGUUUGCUCUAGUUUUUGUUGUUUUUUUUUAUGUUGAAACGAUUUUUCUUUAUCCAUGGGCAAUGAGUUUCGAUGUAUUAGGGAUACCUGUAUUCAUAAAAGUUUUUAUUUUCAUGCUUAUCUUAAUUGUUGGUUCAGUUUAUGCAUGGGGAAAAGGAGCAUUAAAAUUAUCUUAAUUCCUGAAUAUUCAGAUAAUAAAAAGAAAGAAAAAAAGUAGGAUUCUAUCAAAUUUCCCUUAGUUUACUUUGAUGAAGGCUUGAAGUAAAGAGUUUGUAUUGUACCUCUUUAUUUGGACUUUGGUUCCGUUUGAACAGAUCCCUUGAAGUAAAGAAUUUUGUAAAAGUCUGUUUAAAAGAGAAGUUUCCUUAAAAUUCCCAAAUAUAUAUUACAUAGAUACGUACAAUGUGUGUCUCAAAGAAAUUAAAGGCUAACAAUGGUCUUUCCAAGCAACCAUAAAACAAGCGAUAACUCAAGGCCAAAAAUGGUGUGGAGUGUGCUCCUAUCUAGUACGAACCCAUAGAUUGUUAUCCCAGCUCGAUUGUUCUCAAAAUAAGUCACUGUCAUCAACCAAGAAUGAAACAGACCAAUAUCAUCAAGCAACUCAACACGUAUACUACUGUUAUGUUCAUGUUGACAUUGUAACAACCGAGUUUCAAGACGUCUAUCUCGAGUCACCCUAUGCAUCGGGAUCUAGCCGUCGCUUCCAAAUACACUAAAAUCCCGAUAGGCAAUGAGAAGGAAAUGUCCUAAAACCCAAUCGUUACAUGUAAUGUUCUUCGGAGUGACAUUAUUACCUAGAGCUUGUCUCUUUUGGAAUGAAAGGGUACUAUAAGCAUAAGACGGGAUCAUCUUGUUGUUGUCUAUGUCAUCUUCAUCACCAACGUCAUCUCCAUCGUCCGAUUCACCAUCCGUACCCACAUGAGGGAAAGGUUGAUGGCUCUGAAUGACAGACGGACUCCUCGGCAUAUCAUCUUCGUUCGCAUUGAGUGAAUCUAAUGUUGCACAAGCAUGCCACUUUGCCGCUAGGCAUGUAAUAGCUUGUGCUUUGUGAGUUAUUUUCGUUGCACUUCGUAAUAAUAUACAGAGUCCAGUGAGGAGAGUUAUAGAACACAACUACAACAACAAAAAAAGGGCACUCAUCCAACAAUGUGUUAACCGUUUUGAUCCGAAAAUCUCAUGGAUAGAUAAAUGAACACUUACAGCAAGUUCUCCAGCUUUAUAAAAAUUCAGUGCAGAAGUAGCCUUUGUAGUGAUAAGCAAAGAAGUGAAUUGGCUGCCAGUGAUCAAGAUCAGGCAACAUAUUAUAAACGCGCGAUAUCGAUGGCUGAUGAUCCUCAAAUGCCUCCUGAUCCGCAGGUGUUCGGACAAGACUGAACCAACAUCAGAAUCAAUUUGGAAAACCUGAGCAAAGUCGCGGAGUCGGAGAACCUGGAGAUUGCAAAUAAGGUGGAAAAGAACACACACAAGGAAGAAGACAGUCGUCCGGUAAAGCCACGAGCACAGCUCCGUAAUGCAGGCAACCGUGUCACUGAGCCAGACAAUGCCUAGGAAAGGAAUUUGUGAAGCACCUGAGGCAUACCACCAUACUUUGUAUGCAGUCUCAGCUAUGAAACAUGGAAGAACAAAGACUGCUACAAUUUUCAGUGAUCUCUGCAUAUAUUAUACAGUAAAAUUCAAUCACAUUAAUCUAUGAAUUGAAAGUUUUUUUCAAUAUCAUCCAAAAGGAAGCAACCUAGCAUUCUACAUUUUCUUGUAGCCAUAUGAAAUUGAAAUUCUCAAAGGAACUGAAACUACAAAAUUCUAAACGUUCUUACCUAUCAAUAACGAAAGAUUCAGACAAUAACAAAAAAAAAAAAAAAAAACCAGAAAUUCAUUCAAAUCCACAUAUGAAAACUAUUCUAAAAAUUGCAAUUUAAAGAAACAAAAAAAAAAAAAGGGUCAUGAAUUUGAAGGGAAAGAAUGAAAGAAUACUUACAUUGAGCUGACCAGUGUAUCCUUUCCUGACAGCUUCACUUUCAACAUAAAGCUUAUCAAAAAACAAGAACCGUUUCAAACCAUAUGUCUUGACAAACCUCGUCAAACAAACAAAAGACAAAGCUGAAACACUGCUCAAAGACAGCUGAACCACCGAAUCAUAAGGCCUUGCAUGUUUAGCAUCACAAGUGGAACAAGCCAACCAAAAAUGAGACACAGAUGGGACAACAAGCCCCAAAAAUAUGAACAAAAACCAAGACAAACAAGUUGUCCAAAUGUUUGAUUGAUCAACACACAUCCAUUUUAGGUAUGUUCUAAAGCUUUGUAACUCAUCUUUUGCAUGAGAUAUGCUUCUUGUGAACUUCUUAGUCCCAUCAUCCACCAAAGGUUCCAUGGUGUCUCCCAUCAAGGGGAUUUGUGGGAGAAUUUGAAGAGUUUGGGGGGAGGGGGGAUUUGUAAGUUUUGUUGGAUUUAAGAGGGGAGGAUGUUGUGAUCCAAUCAGAGGAUAACAAGUGUUGGAAUCGAGAGAGAAAAGAGGACUCAACUUUUCUUCUAUUUUCCAGGAAAAAGUUUUGGGAAAAAUCUAUCAGAAAAAUUAUUUUCUUUUUUUUCCUGGUUUUGACUGUACAUUACAAUUAUACAAUUAUUUUAUAAUAAUCAUUCUUAAUUGUGAAUUUCUGUCUAAAUCUGACGUUGGUCCUCAGAUCAAGCAGGCAUUGUUGAAAUUAUACCUGAAAAUUAAACGAUCUAAUCUAAUUUAUUUACAUUAUAUUAUUUUUUAUUAAAAAUGUAUCAAAAAAUGUUGAUUUUUUAAAAAAAAAAUUUACUGGACUAAGUUGAUCUUCAGAAAAAUUACGGGAUUAGGUCGAAAAAAUAAAAACACUUCCAGCUAGAAGCAUUUUCAGCGGAUUUACAGAGAAAUGCUUUUAGCUGGAAGCGUUUUCCAUAACAGCUACCCCACCCCAACGGUUAGAAAUCCAUCUCAAAGCCGUUUACCCCCUACGCUCUUUUCCUUUCCUAUAUAAACCCCCUAAAUUCUAUUCUUUUUCAAUUCAAUCUCAUCUCAACUUUCUCUCACAUUCUCAAUUUUCUCUCAAAUCUCUUUUAAAGUUCUCUCAAUUCUUUCUUGAUUCUCACUCAAUUUUUAUUCCUCUCUCAACUCUCUUUUUUUUUAUUAAAAUUUUAAUAAGGUUUUCUUAAAUUAAUUUUUUUCAUAUUUAUUGAAAUUAGUAAGGUCAAAGUCUCUAAUUCGCUUGGAUGACAAGCACAUUUCGGUCGAUUAAUUGCAAAUGGUAAGACGUUUUUUUACUAUAUUUAGUCUAAUUUAAUUUAAAUAUUUUGUUAUUAUACUAAAAUUUAAUAUUUUGUAUUUUUUAUAUAUAAUCGAAAGAUCAGAUUUUGGAGACAUAUAUUUGUAUUCUACUCGUUCCUCCAUCGUCUUUAAUCAAACCAUAUUUGAGAGAUGUGAGAUUUUUGCACGUAGCCCGUAUGGGUAGGGGGUGUAAAUUUGACCCUACACUUAUAAGCAUGUUGGUGGAAAGGUGGAGACUUGAGACACACACAUUCUAUCUUUCAUGCGGCGAGUGUAGUAUCACACUCAAGGACUUGCAGUUACAACUCGAGUUAUCGGUGGAUGGGUCGGUAGUGACUGGGUCAAUUGUCGCGGUCGAUUAGAAAAAUGUAUGCGCGCAACUUUUAGGAAGGGUCCCAGGCAUGAUUUAUGGAGCUUGGAUAGAUAUGAAUUGGUUGAAAAAAAAAUUGGUGGGCUCGAUGAGGAAUCGGAUGAAGUUUAAAGAGAACAACAUGCUCGGACGUACAUCCUUAUGAUCAUCGAGGGUCUCCUAAUACCUGAUAAAUCAUGAAAUCUUGUCAAUUUAAGGUAACUGCUAAAACUUGUAGACUUUAGAGAAGCGAGCAAACUUAGUUGGGGGUCAGCUGUAUGGGCAACAUUGUAUCAGGAGAUGUGUCGGGCGACAAAACCACAGAAAAUUAAAAUCGGUGGUUAUAUGCUACUGCUACAAUCAUUGGAGUGGUAUCGACUUCCAUUUUUACAUCCUCGAGCGGACUACCCUUAUACAUUCCCACUCAUAACAAGGUUAAAUUCAUUAGAGAAUAUAUUUAUCAUAAUAAAAUUAUUUAAAUUUUAAAUUAAUGUGUUAACAUAUUAUUUCAAUAGAUGGAACCAUGGGUCAAGUUAUGUGAGACUACCGGAGGAGCUUCAAGAUGUACAACUUAUGUCAGAUCAACGACCGGAAGUAGAGGUAUGUGUUUUUUAAAUUUGAAUUAUAUAAUAUUAACGUAUAUCUAAUUAAUAGUAUAUAUAAUUAAUUUUUUAUUAUUUUAAUAUAGUUUGAGUAUACGCCAUACUCCGAUAUGAGAAUUUAAGAAUGCAUCUCGUUUGAAUUCUUGGUGAAUCCCAACAUCUGGCACGUGAAGGUACCACUGGUAGUGUACACUACGGUGGAGAUACACGAAUUAGAUGUAGUUAUGCCACAGUUUAGGUUUAGGCAAAUGAUUCCGCCAACACCCUAAGACAUCGACAAUCUGCACCAUAUUGACUUGCGGGGGAGAAUCGAUGAAAUUGGCCUACAUUUCACGCGGAAUAUAUCAAUGUUUGGAACCAUAGGUAAAACUUUUUACCUACUCGCGAACUCAUUAUUUCUUGGGAGUUAGCCUACGAUUCAGAGUACAUGUCAUGGUUUAGACACCAUGACAAGCCAUAUCUACUAGCGGAAGAGACGAAGGGUAGGCAACGUUAUGAGAAGAGACCACGAUGAACGCCUGGGCAUCCAAGGUCUGGAACAGCUGUCGAGUUGGAUCCAUCAUCUACACCAAUGCAAGGACAUGCAUUGAUGACAUCACCACCCCCCGAUCAGUAUGGCUCGACUUAUUUUGAUGUUUUCACUAACCUCGUCAUUUUUAUAUAAGCACCACAUCUUGCACCAUAUUUGUUUGUUUCUACAUCGACUUCAAGUAUUAUUUUUAGACCACCACCUCCAUCACACGCAUAUUACACGUCGAUGCCAUCAACAUUUCAGACGACAACAAUUCUGACGGUGACGUAUAGGCCGUCUAUAUUUGGGGCACCGGCGGAAAGUCUGAUUAUUCAGCCAUCGGUGUAUGAGACACAAUAUGGUUAUACACCUAUGUUGAUGGUGUCACAAACACCUCCAGAAUCAUUGUUCCACCAAGGUGGACCAUCUUCACAACUAGUUGUGUAACAGCCCAUUUUUAGUGGUAUGUCAGAAACAGUGAUUUUAGGACCACAAUUUCGAUGAGUGAAUUAUUAUUUUGUUAUUUAUUUAAUGUCUACGAGAUUAUAUUAAGAUCGUAUUAAAGUUUUGUUAAGACAUUUUGAUGUUUAAACAGAUAAUUAGAUAAAAAGGACUAAAUUGUAAAAGGUGUAAAAGUUGAAUUGUAUUAGUUAAAGGGGUCAAAUGGCUAUGAAAUUUUAAUUUAAUGGACUUUAAUGAUAAAUAGACCAUUUAAUUAGUUAUUGGAUAGUUAUGGAUAAUUUUUUAUUGAAAAUUUGAUAAUUUUUAAAGGUUAAAAUGGUAAUUGAAUAAUUAAAAGAAAAUUUAAGUAAAGAAAGAUGAAACAAAGUCAUCAUCUUCUUUCUUUCAUUUUUUUUUCAACCAAAAAUCCAUGGGAGGAGAGCUUGAAGUUCCAGCUAGGGUUUAAUUUAUGCAUGUAAGUGAAUUCAAGCUCUGUUUUUAUUGAUUUUUAUGUUUUUGAGUUCGUUUUAGCUUAAUCUCGCUAGCCCGAGGAUUACUUUGCAAAAAUGUUAAAGAUUGAGGGAAUUUCCAUGGAUUUUUGAAUGAUUUUUGAUGUUAGUUGAUAGAUUAUGAAUCUUUAUUGUAAAAUAAACAUGUUUUGUUAAGUGAUUUUUGGUGAAAUUAUAUUUAGGGAUUAAAUUGUUAAAAGUAUAAAUUCAUGGAUUUUAUUGUGAAAUUUUGGUAAUAAUAGGUUGUUUCAAGGUCCCUUGUAACUUUGGUUAAGUUGGAUUUAGGUUAAAAUGGUUAGAUUUAAAGUUAUGAGCUUAUGGACUAAAUUGUGAAAAGUUAAAAUGUUAGGGGAAUUCAUAAUUUUUCAUAAAUAUGAAUUAUGGAUUAAAUUGAAUUAUAGAGGUACUUAAUUUAUUGAAAUUAUCAAUUUAGAUCAAGAUAAAUCACAAUCGGGCUUAAAUCGAGGAAAAGCUAAAGCUUCAGAUUAAUUUGACUUUACUUUUACGCCCUAAUUAUCAAGGUAAGUUCGUAUAAACUAUGAUCAUUUUAAUGUUAGUUAAAAUGACUAUUUGCUAUGUUUUUUUUUAAUAUAAAUGAAUCAAUAUGUAAAUGUAUCCAUGUUAUGAUGAAUUGACGGAUAACAAGUCCCGGUUGAACCUUAAGAAUUCUUACGAUACAAUUACAUGUCAUUAGAGAUUUCAUAUUUCGGGUGCUAGUCUUGAAUGUCCUACCAAUGGCUGAGGUCCUGCAUUUGUUGCGGAUUCUCCACAACUCAUGUGAGUAGCAUCGUGUAGCUUACAUUCCGACCUACAGCUCGUGUGAGCAUUGAUGUAAAGAAAAGGUUACGGUUAUAUGUAAAUGCACACUAUGUGUGAGCUUUUCUGAGUAUCUGAUGUAAUUCUAGAUGGUUGAACGGGUAAGAAAAGGAAAUGAAAUGGUAAGUAUGCAAAUGGAUUGAAUGAUGAUAUUAUGAAAAGAUUUAUGAGCUAAAGGAUGUUAUCUACAUAUAGAAAUUUACUUAUCUUAUGGUUGAAUUCAUUUGUAUCAUGAACAAGUGUACUAACUUGUGAAUUUGAUGAUGUUGUAUAGGCUUAAGCUAAGCUUAUGGUAUUGGUAAUGAUUUAUGCUUAAUCUAUGAAUUGUAAAAAUGACAUGGCAAGUUAUGUUUAAGUUUAUAUGAGCUUACUAAGCUUUCGUUGCUCACGUAGUUUCUUUCCUUUGUUUUGUAGAUUAUCGGAAGCUCGACCGGUUGAAAGCUCAUCGGAGACCUAUCACACUAUCCAACAACUAUUUCGAUAGAUUUUGUGUAUUUUGGCCAAGGUUAAUAAUGGCAUGUAUAAGGUCUUGUAAUGUAUGUUUUGGUGUGUUUAAGCUUUUGAAGUUGUGUUGGUUUGGUGCACUUUGAUGCCUUGCCAAAUUAUGUCAUUUUGGUCACUUUCAAGUGCUUGCAUUUAAAGUAUCUAUUGGUGUGUUUGUAGUGUUAUGAAAAAGGUCAAAUGUGGUGUUAUGUGGUAGCCAAGGAACUAAGCUUUUAUACUUGCAAUAUGGCAAUGUUGAAGUAUUUUGAUAAUUGAUGUUUUGGUACAAUUGUGGUGCCUUUGAAUGACAUAUUGGUUAGGUGAUUUAGGAUAUUUGAAAUGGUAUGUUUAUGUGUGUUUGGAUAGUGUUUGAAUCCCUUAAAUGUGUGUUCAAAUGGUUUGAAUGGUUAAUUAUGAAAUGGAUUUGAAAUGGCUUGUUUUUAGGUAAAUUUUGGGUUCACACGGCUUGGGACACAGGCUAUCACACGACUGUGUGACACACAUGGCCUAGUGACACGGCCGUGUGUUAUUUGAGAGUUUCUUAGUGCUUCAAGUUAUUGAGUUACACAGCCUAGCACACGGGCGUGUGGGGCAACUCAGUGAGUUACACAAGUGAGAACACGGGCUGGGACACGGCCGUGUGUCCCUUGUUCGAAUGUUACACGGCCUAAGGUGAUGUCACACGGCCAUGUGACCCCUGUUUUCUAAAUUUUGCAAUUUUUUCUUAAAACUUCUAUUUUAUUACAAAUUAGUCCUGAAUUGUUUCAAAGCUAUUUUUAGGGCCUCGAAGGCUCGAUUUAGGGACAAAAUGCAUGAGAUUGAAUGGUUUAUAAUAUGAGUUUAAUUUAUUUAAAUAUUACAAUGUUAAAUGUUUUCGAUUGUACGGUAAUGCUUCGAAACCCUAAUUCGGUGAUGGAGACGAGUUAGGGGUGUUACAAGUUGUUCCUAGAAUAGAAGAUACACGAUGGCAACCGAGGAGCACUCUGCAAUCAACUACGGAUGAAGGCGAAUAAUAUGAGAGGCUGAGACCACAACGUGUACUUGAAGGUAGACGUAACGAUAAAAAUGAGGAAGUCGGUAUAUAGCUUGGGUGAAGAAGAAAUAUGACUCGCAACUGACAACCACCCCGUUGUGGUACACAUAGGAGCGAACAGAACUUGAUUCGACUUGAAAAAAUAAAAAAAAAUGUUCAAAUUUCGAGUUAAAUGAAUCGAGUUGUUCGAGUCAACUCAAUUUUUUUUCAAAUUUCGAGUUCGAUUCGAGUUUAAUUUUCGAAUUUGAAUAAACUGAAUAUCAAAGUAUAAUAUUUUACAUUUUUACCCCAAGCUCUCAAACCUUUUUACUUUACCCCCUAAUACUUUUACUCCCUCCCACUUUCCCUUAAAACUUUUACUCCCCUCCCAUCUCACCCCCAUCUACCCGAAACCCAUUUUCCCCCCAUUUUUUUUUGAAUAUUCCCCCCAUUGACUUUCCCCCCAAAAUUUUACUCCCCCAACUCUCAACACUUUUUAUUUUACCCUUAAAUUUUUACUUUUCACCUUUUACCCCCAAAUAAAAAAUCAUACAAAAAAAUCUCUAAACUUAAAUAAUAAUUUUAUUUAUAUAUACUAUUUAUAUUAUUAAAUGAAAUUUUACAUUUUGUACUAUUUAUAUUAUUGAAUUGUUUAAUCAUAUUAAAUUUUUAUAAAUUUUUGUUAAAAUUGAAUUAUUGAUGAUGCCAUAAAAUAUUUGAGUUAAAAUUUUAUAUUGGUAUCAAUUUCAUAUUUUAUCUUUAAAAUAACUUUUAUUGAAAAAUUAAUUUUUUAUAUUUAAUAUAUUUUUUAAUUUCAAAAUACAUAGUGACAAAAAUCAGAAGAUAAUUGAAGCAACUAAGCAAGCAAAAAAGUUAACCCGUAUAUAAAAUAUUAAUAAAAAUUAUGAGGAGAUGAAAGUUAAUAACAAAUUUUAUUAUGGUGGGAAAAUUUGAUUACAGUGGUGACAGUGGUUAUAAGGACCCAAAGUCAUUUUUUUAAAUUUAACUUGAACAAAUAUAUUCGACACGAUUCAAAUUCCACUCACUCGACACGAUUCGAGAAAAUUUCAAAUUGAGUUAGGAUGAUAAAAUAGGAUUCGUCAAUUCGAUUAACUCGAAAUUUUUUCAUUCGAUUCGAUCGAACGCUCGCGCCUAGGUACACAUUCUGAUCGAGGAUAUGAAUGAUUUUUUUUUUGUACUUCUCAAGUAAAUUUUAAUUGUUUAGUUAAGUUAUAGUCGAUAAGAUUGUAACGAUAUUGGAUAUGAAAUGUUUUUAAAUAAAUAUCAUUUUAAAAUCAAAAUUGUUUUCAUUGUCAUUUUAUAUUGUAAAAUCAAGUCUACAUGAGAAAAAUGGAACAAAGUUGUAUAUUGUAUUUCUCUCUAUAGUAUAAUAAAAAUGCGUAUUUAAAAAUUACAAAAAAAUUUGAGUAUGAAUGAAAAAAUCAACAAAUAAGUUUCAGUUAAAAAAUUAAUAAAUCGGUUAAUGAGGUAUUGUCCUUAUAAUAUCUCAUCGGUGAGGACAUGACAAUAUUGUAUACCCUAGGUAGAUGUCGGUCGACCUUUUGGUUUGUAAUGCAAUGACUUAUUGGGUAACAACUUGAAUGGAGCGCUCGAUACCGGCAACCACAUACUUUUAUCUGGGGCCGAUGGGAAUACAUUUCUCCACAUGUUAUACAUGUGUUCUAGUUUAUCAUCAUGUAUUGUUUCAUCUACGAUAUGUACAUUUUGUCCAUAAAGCUUUGUGAUCUAAACUUACGGAGGAACAUGCUGCAAUUGCAAAAGCACAUGGGAAACGAAGUGCAUCAAAUCUCCCACAGUUGUAGGUCAGUUGUCUCCGAUGUACAUGGUACGCUCCCCCGACAAUACCUUGAUUGGGUCUGUCGAACUCUGUAACUCGAAACAAAAGGUCUUUGCAUGAGUGACACACUAGAUGCAUACAGUUCGCUCGUACUGUAGCCUUCCUAAUUUCUUUCAUAAUGUCCUUACACCAAACAUGGUAUUCCUUCAUCUGUCCAACAUAUUUUUUCAUUCCCUUUGGAAAAAGUUCUGCCAAAUGAAAAUAUGUUUCUUUCACAACCAAAGUUAUCGACAAAUGAUGUGUUCCCUUCAAUACAAAAUUGAUGCAUUCCACUAAGUUUGUCAUCAUGUGCCCAUAUCGUAAACCCUCGUCAUAUGAUUGUGUCUACUAAUUGAAGGGUAUGUUAGAGAGGUACCUUACCCCGACACUAUUAAUGGCCUGUAAGUUUUCCAACAUUUCAUGAAAAUGGUGUUUGACGAGCUCAUACCCUGUCGAGAAAAGUGAAUAGUUUAUUCAUAAUGCCCAACAUCUGCUAGCCAGUUAAAUAUUAAACAAUUGAAAUAGUGGCUAAUACAUACCCAUGUUAACCACUUGUGCGCUCUGAGCUUCAAAUUCGUACUAUCUGUGGUAGUUCAUCGCAACAUGUCUUAAACAAUAUUUAUGGUGUGUUCGGUCCCAAAGGCUUCUCUAUCAUUCAAUUGUGGCCAGUAUUCCAAGUCCCUUGUCAAAGAUGACACAUACAUCGAGUUGGGGGCAAACAUACCUCCUCAACCUAGACAAGAAGAAAUCUCAAAUCAUUUGCCUUCUUUGACGACAUUAUUGCAAAGAAAAUUGGCAGGAUUUUUUAUUUUCAUCCUAUGCCACAACCAACAACAACAAUCGAUACGUAUAUCUCCCGUUAAUAAAGAGACCGUCGAUUUGUACUAAUGGCUUGCAGUAUUGGAAUGCUUUUCGACAUUGCUUGAAAUCCCAGAAGAAAUGAUGGAACACUCGACAUCUAUGGACCAACCGAUUAUUAUAAUACACAGGCAUUAUUUGUAGAUCGGUUAACUCAUCCCACCCAUUAUGUAUCUUCUCCAAUGCCUUCUACUUUGCAAUCCAUGCCUUGUGGUAUGAUGGUGUGUAAUCGUACUAGCUACGGAUAUUUACAAUUAAAACCGACACAACAAUCAUUGGACUUGUUUUCACCAUAUUUAGUAUUAUUUUCAGGAUCAUCUCCGAACCCAAUUUCAGAUGAUCUUGUGAAAUACCUGCAACAACACGAGUAUGUUAAAAUUAGGAAUUCUACCCCAAAUAUAAGAAAAUCUUAACACAGUACCUAUGAUAACACACGUAUGCGGAACGAUAUAUUUUUUAUGGUCUAUAACCCAGUCUUCUUAUUAACAGAAACCAUGAUUUUCCAUGCACAUUUCGCUUUGAAUUUGUCAGAUCGGGAUUUAACAAAAUGGAAGUUUAUCCCAUUUUUUAAGUUGUAUCACUUCAUUACAGUGACAAAACCAUCUUUAAAGGAAAACUCCUUCCCCACUUCUAAAUCACCCGAAUUCAACAAAGAACUCGCAUAGCUCGAUCUUUUGUGUGGGAAUUUUACAAACUCCAAUCCAUCUUCUGCUAAAAGGUCCACAUUAUGCAUGUAGGUCGGUGGUGAGUACGUCAUGAACUGUGAAUCUUCUUCGACAUAUUCGCCCGGACCUUCACCAUCUGAACCUCCAUAUUUUAGUUUAGUUGGAACCAGCUUUGGGUCAGAAAAUAAUGCAAUUUCUAAACCAUCAGCCCCGGGCUCCCAGAUUGGAUUGGCAUCAGAUUCAGUGCCCUCUUCAUUCUCAGCCGCACCAGUAUCUCCGGGGUUGGAAAUCCCCUCGUCGGUGGAUGUCAUAGGGAGUACAUCAUCCCUUAUUGUAUAGUUCUCGAAACAACCAAACCACCUAUUGAUUACCAACCGUUGGAACUUGAUGUCAUUCUCCUAUAGGUGUUCCCAGUAUUAAACAUCGGCUGAUCGAAGCUGAAAUCAAAACCACUAACUGAGUGUCGCAUGGGGGUCCAGUAUUAUUGGUUACUGCCAAACCCUGUAAGAUUUCCCACUUUCAACUCUUACAAUUUCCCACUCACCCAUCAUAUAUCUCGGGAUUCUCGAGAUAAUAUUUUCUAAAAAAUUCUGAUCGACCUCAACCUCCCCUAAGCUAUAGGUGAUCAAAACUCAGUUACAUUCGAAAAAAUUGAAAAAAUUUACAAACUAAAAGUUAAUCGAAUUGAGUAGUUCAAGCUUUGAUUUUGAAUCGAAUUAAAUUUUACAAUUUGAAUAAUUCAAAUAUACGAUUGUUGUAAAUAUCAAAUUAAAUAAUGUUAACUUUACAAGUCAAAAAAAUAUAAAAAAGUCUAAAGAAUAUAUAAAAAAUUUUAAAAAUAUAAAAACCCCUAAAUCCUAAAACACUAAAACCUACAAAAUCUUAACCCUAAAUUACUUUAACAAAAAUCAAAAUCCUAACCCUAAAAAAAUAACCUUACCAAAAGAAAAAUGCUUCCAGCUGAAAGGUUUUCCUACAAAUCCAUUGAAAACGCUUUCAGUUGGAAGAGUUUUCGUAUUUUUGGCCUAAUCCCGUAAUUUUUCAAAAACCAGCCUAAUUCGAUAAUUUUUUUUAAAAAAAAUCGACAUUUUUUAGAACUUCAUUCUCUGUUGACAUCAUUACUGUUACAAUAAUUAAAAAAUAUAAGUUGGAGUGAGUUUAAAAGAAUAUUAUCUUUUAAUUUAAAAAUUAAUAAAAUUAUAGGUAGGUUACCACAAAGAUCCUUUUACUUCUUUUUGUUUUCUUUUCUUGUCAUUUUUAUGUGUUUUUUUAUGGCUAUUGGUAUCAAGGAUGUUUUCAACAUGGAAGUACUAUCAAUGAAACCGUAGAACUUGAGUUUGAGAUGUUGGACUUAAUUAGCAAUUGAAGUUAAAGUGAAUGAAAGGGAUUUGAGAACUUUCUUAGUUGGUUAUUAUUGAUUGUGUGAUAUCUAGAGCCCGCUUUUUACUAUUAUUAGUAUGGUUCCCUACCAAGUUUCAUGUUGGAUUAAUUGUUCUUUUAUGAGUAAAUUUUGAAGGUUCAAAUAUAUUUUAAGUCUUCAUACUUUUCAUGUGUUUAGAAGUUAGUCUUCAUAUUUUUAAUUUUAAGAAUUUAGUUCCUUUAUUUUUUAAAUUUAAAAAUUAAGAUUUAAUUGUUAAUACUAUCAAAUUCGAUGGAUUUCCGUUUUGAAAUUAAAAAAAAAACACUCACACGGUAACUAUGUAACAAAAAAAAAAACAUUGCAAUGAGCGUGAAUUUAACAGAUAAUUUUAAUGGUAUUAAUAACUCUUAAAAAUUACAUCGUCAUUUUAAUCGAAAUUAAGGUUUUUGGGCUAACUAAUAACAAUAAAAAAGUCAAGGUACCAAAUCAUAUCAAAAAGUUAAAAUAUAAAAAUUAAAUCUUAAAUUUAAGCAAGACCAAAAUAGAAAUUUAAUUAUUAUAUAAUUUAUAAAAAAAUAAACUUAUUCCAACUCAUCAUGCUAAAAGAAGUUUUUUGUUAGUAUUGUUUAAGAAAUCUAGGUCAAAAAACUAAUUAGAGUAGUCAACAAAAUUAACAAAUUGGACUAAAUAUUAUAAAAUUAAGACCAAAUUAUUGUAGAAUUUAUGAAUAAGAAUUAAAUCUUAAUUUUAGGUAUAAUAGAGGGAUGAAAAGUGAUAUUUGGCCAUUAUCCUAUGAAAGACAAAAAAAAAAAAUGAAAGUGGGAAGCAAGGAGAAGCCAAAAUUUUUUUUAAAGGGGCCGAAUGAAAUUUUAAUUUUUAAUAGUCUAUAUUUUUAUAAUUUUUAAAGAAUUAAAUCAAAUUUUUAUAAUUUUAGGGGGGCCAAAGUAUAAUAUUACUUUUACUAAUUUAAAAUUUUAAAAAUUUUUAAAGAGCCUAAAUAACAAAUUUCCUUUUAGGGGGGGUCGGGGCCCCUGCCAGCCCCCCUAGAUUCGCCUCUAGUGGGAAGGUUUAAAACGACCUUUGAGUUAUUGAUAAAGAGACUUUAGCUUAUUGAGAAGGAAUUAGAAGAUUAUGAAGUAGGAGAAAAUUUAUUUUUGUUUGUGUUUGANNNNNNNNNNNNNNNNNNNNNNNNNNNNNNNNNNNNNNNNNNNNNNNNNNNNNNNNNNNNNNNNNNNNNNNNNNNNNNNNNNNNNNNNNNNNNNNNNNNNNNNNNNNNNNNNNNNNNNNNNNNNNNNNNNNNNNNNNNNNNNNNNNNNNNNNNNNNNNNNNNNNNNNNNNUAAAUGGUUGACCCAAAUUCAUUUUAGUACACACUCAUAUUGUUUUUAAAAUCUUUUUUAAAAAUUUAUUUAUAAUAUUUUAAUUUAAUAUUUAAUUAUCUUAACAUUUUUUAUGUUUACAUUAUAGUAGUAUUAUAUAUUACUACAAAUUUAAUUUUUAUGUGUUAUAAAUUACAAAAAAUAUAUAAAAAUAACAUAAUAAUGAGGCCGGUCAAGCCGAGCUUAGGCCUUGAAUAUUCAAGUCCAAGCCCAAAGACAACUUAUAUUUUAAAUGAGAUUAUUAUUUUUUGUUCAAGCCUAUUUUUCGAAUUUAAUUUUUUACCUAAAUACUAUCAAAUUUUGAAUGGACCUUCAAGCGUUAUUCCAAUUUGACCCUAAUUUUUUUAAUCCUCAAUAUUACAUUUUGAGUCAAAUUAUUUUUUUUAAUAAAAAAAAUACAGAUUGAACCAUUAAAAUUUAACAGUGUUAACAUGACAAUUUGAGUAGAUAACGAUUAAAUGAUGUGGCAAAAACGAAAUGAAGAGUUGGCAUUGUAGUCGAGGAAGUGGAAAUCUAGAGUAAAGGAAUGAAAAGAAAAUAUAGAAGCUUCAUGCAAAUAAGAAGAAUAACCACAUUCAAAGUCUAUUGUGAGAAGGACGUACCAAUUUAUUAAAAUACAUUGUUAUGUAUAGAAAAUAGAGAAUGGUCUCUGUUAAGGAUCGGCCCGAUUAAGCAAUAAGUAACAAAAAUAGCAGAAUAAAUUAAGAAAUUAAACAUAUAAAUUUAACGUGAAAAAACCCCUCCAAAGAGGAUAAAAAAUUACGGGCAAAGAUAAUUUUACUAUAAUGGCAAAAGAACGAAGAGUACAAAAGAUGGAGAUAAAACUAAACCCAAAAAACUCGAAAACAAAAAACUCUCAAAACGUAAAUGUAAGAACCCAUUUUUGCCUGGACCCAUACUAGCAAAAUAAGCCCAAAUAAUAAAAACAAAAACAGUCCAUUUUCAGCAAAUUUAAGCACAAAACCCAAUUAUGCCAGCCCAAUACAACCCUAGCCCACAACAAAAACUUUCAGCAGCAAAGGGAGCAAACCCUAACCCUCUCCAGCGCCCGCAUGCACGCCCCUGCCCUUGGGCGCCGCUCCAACUCCCCGCACGCCGCCGCCGCACUUCACCACGCUCGUCUGGCACCUGCAAAGAAUUUAAUGCAAUAACAAAUGAAGAAGCACGCGGGCAAUAAUAGUAGUUAAUAGAUAAUAAGGAAGAGAAAAGCAUUUUGAUUCGGCUAUAAAAGCCCGAAUCUCACCGUUGUACUUUUUUUACGAACGCACAUCAAUUAAUCAAAAAUCAAAACACAGAUUUUAAAGGUUAAAAAUCUGAUCGUUUUCUUUUUUCUUUUUGUUUUUCUGUUUGCUGUUUUCUUUUUAUUCUUAUUAUUAUUUUUUGUUUUGUUCAUCUCUUUUACAAAUAGUUUUAACAAUAAAUAUAGAAUAGAAAGAAGGGGAAAGAAACGCACCUAGAUCACCGGUGGCUCCGUCGACGGAUGUCUUCUCGCCGUCGUCGGAAUCGGGUCUUGAAGUGGGUUUAAUGCUCCUUCGGUCCCUCGGAUUGGAAGCCUGACUCUCUGAUACGCCCCCAUUUUCUUCGCCGUUGGCCUUUGGUCACGGCGGCUCCAAGGCCGAAUUUUUUGGGAGAGUUGAGAGAAUGAGGGUUUAGUUUUUUAGAAAAAAAUGGUUGCAGGUGACAGAUUUUUGGGGUUUAAAU
This 55135-nucleotide long non-coding RNA is filed under the name Gossypium raimondii (Peruvian cotton). RNAcentral's name for it is "long non-coding RNA (GRAI_LNC010795)". Lineage: Eukaryota; Viridiplantae; Streptophyta; Magnoliopsida; Malvales; Malvaceae. The record is from RNAcentral.